AGAGCUUUUAUAUAUAUAUAUAGAGCUGGACUGGGCUACUAUUAGUAGCAAAAUUUCAUUAUUGCUACCAGUUUUUUAGCCUUUGGAUCAACUCUUUUCAUUAUUUUUAACCAUUGGAUUAAAUACUAUAACCCAGUGGGGACCACUCAACCCUAGGGGGACCACUCAACUCUAACCGACUAAUAUCAUCCUAACCUUACAAUUUUUCAUCCAAGGGUUAAAAGCUUGAUAGCAAAAAGAGCGUUUUACUAUUAAUAGUAUUCCAGCCUAAUUCUAUAUAUAUAUAUAUAUAUAUAUAUAUAUAUAUAUAUAUAUAUAUAUAAAAUUGAGCUAGAAUACUCUCAAAAACACCAUUGGGGUGGUGCUUUUGAGUUUUUAGCCAUUGGAUGGAGAGAUGUAAGGUUGAAAUGAUGGUGGUAGGUGGUGGUAGGUGGAAUAGUGUUUGAUCCAAGGACUAUUAGUAAUCAAGGAGUAGAUCCAAUAGCUAAAAACCUAAUAGCACCAUGGGGGUGAUACUUCUAAAAGUCAACCAACCAUCCACUCAACCCUAGGGGGCCCACAUCAUCCUAACCGCACAUCCUUUAAUCCAAGGGCCGAAAACUUAUAAGCACCAAUGACUUGGUACUUUUAAAAGCAUAGGAGCUCAAUUCAUAUAUAUUUAUAGAGUCCGGCUGAGUACUAUCAAUAGCACUAAGGAUUUGGUACUAUCGAGUUUUCCACCGUUAGAUUUAACUCUUUGAUUAUUUUUACCUAUUAGAUUAUACUAUUCAACUAGCCACUCACUCAACCUAGGGUGCCCACAUCAUCCUAACCACCAAUUUCUCAAUCCAAGGACUAAAAAAUCAAUAGCACCAAGCUAUAUUGAUAAUAUUCCAGUCUAGUUUUAUAUAUAUAUAUAUAUAUAUAUAUAUAUAUAUAUAUAUAUAUAUAGAGUCCGGCUAUGGUGCUUGUAAAAGUACCAAGCACUUGGUGCUUGUAAACUUUUUACCGUUAGAUCUACGCCUUUGAUCAUUUUCACCCGUUAGAUUAUACUAUUCAACUAACCACCCACUCAACCCAGGGGCCCAUAUCAUCCUAACCGCACAUCUAUUAAUCCAAGGGCUAAAAACUUAAAAACACCAAUGACUUGUACUUUUAAAAGUAUAGGAGCUCAAUUCUCUCUCUCUCUCUCUCUCUCUCUCUCUCUCUCUCUCUCUCUCUCUCUCUCUAUAUAUAUAUAUAUAUAUAUAAUCCAGCUGCUAUCCUAUUAAUAGAAUAGGAACCUUCGUCCUAUCAAAUAGUUUUUGAUGAUAGAGAUCUCGAAUUGUUGAUCGGAACCGUUGAAGUUGAUUUAGAGUAUUUGAAAUAUCUAGGAACUAAAUUUUAUAAAUUUUAAAAUUUAUUUACAAAGUGAUCAAAGAAUAGCAAAAUUGACAAUUUUUGACGGCCUAUAUAUAUAUAUUAUAUAUAUAGAGCUAGGUUACUUAGACAUCGGUACACGGAGCGCCUGGCCGUGCUACAAGGUUGUUUUCGAUGAUUGUGGCUUUCCCAAAUCGACGAAGUCGGCUCCGUUAGAGUUAUCUACACUAUUGAAAGUAUUUAGAAAACAAAAUUUUCAUAAAUUUUUCGAUAUAUCAUUUUACCUAUCAAACAAUGUUUAAGUCUAAAAUUGAAACAACGGCUGAAAAUAGAAAAAAUCUAUAAAAAAUGAUGAUAAAAAAUUUAAAUUACAAGAUCAGAUACUACGAUUCUUAUUCUAAUAUAGUUGAAAGAAUUUUCUAUAAAAUUUUCAUCGAUUUGGAUUGUUUUACACCAUUAAACUCACAAAACACANNNNNNNNNNNNNNNNNNNNNNNNNNNNNNNNNNNNNNNNNNNNNNNNNNNNNNNNNNNNNNNNNNNNNNNNNNNNNNNNNNNNNNNNNNNNNNNNNNNNNNNNNNNNNNNNNNNNNNNNNNNNNNNNNNNNNNNNNNNNNNNNNNNNNNNNNNNNNNNNNNNNNNNNNNNNNNNNNNNNNNNNNNNNNNNNNNNNNNNNNNNNNNNNNNNNNNNNNNNNNNNNNNNNNNNNNNNNNNNNNNNNNNNNNNNNNNNNNNNNNNNNNNNNNNNNNNNNNNNNNNNNNNNNNNNNNNNNNNNNNNNNNNNNNNNNNNNNNNNNNNNNNNNNNNNNNNNNNNNNNNNNNNNNNNNNNNNNNNNNNNNNNNNNNNNNNNNNNNNNNNNNNNNNNNNNNNNNNNNNNNNNNNNNNNNNNNNNNNNNNNNNNNNNNNNNNNNNNNNNNNNNNNNNNNNNNNNNNNNNNNNNNNNNNNNNNNNNNNNNNNNNNNNNNNNNNNNNNNNNNNNNNNNNNNNNNNNNNNNNNNNNNNNNNNNNNNNNNNNNNNNNNNNNNNNNNNNNNNNNNNNNNNNNNNNNNNNNNNNNNNNNNNNNNNNNNNNNNNNNNNNNNNNNNNNNNNNNNNNNNNNNNNNNNNNNNNNNNNNNNNNNNNNNNNNNNNNNNNNNNNNNNNNNNNNNNNNNNNNNNNNNNNNNNNNNNNNNNNNNNNNNNNNNNNNNNNNNNNNNNNNNNNNNNNNNNNNNNNNNNNNNNNNNNNNNNNNNNNNNNNNNNNNNNNNNNNNNNNNNNNNNNNNNNNNNNNNNNNNNNNNNNNNNNNNNNNNNNNNNNNNNNNNNNNNNNNNNNNNNNNNNNNNNNNNNNNNNNNNNNNNNNNNNNNNNNNNNNNNNNNNNNNNNNNNNNNNNNNNNNNNNNNNNNNNNNNNNNNNNNNNNNNNNNNNNNNNNNNNNNNNNNNNNNNNNNNNNNNNNNNNNNNNNNNNNNNNNNNNNNNNNNNNNNNNNNNNNNNNNNNNNNNNNNNNNNNNNNNNNNNNNNNNNNNNNNNNNNNNNNNNNNNNNNNNNNNNNNNNNNNNNNNNNNNNNNNNNNNNNNNNNNNNNNNNNNNNNNNNNNNNNNNNNNNNNNNNNNNNNNNNNNNNNNNNNNNNNNNNNNNNNNNNNNNNNNNNNNNNNNNNNNNNNNNNNNNNNNNNNNNNNNNNNNNNNNNNNNNNNNNNNNNNNNNNNNNNNNNNNNNNNNNNNNNNNNNNNNNNNNNNNNNNNNNNNNNNNNNNNNNNNNNNNNNNNNNNNNNNNNNNNNNNNNNNNNNNNNNNNNNNNNNNNNNNNNNNNNNNNNNNNNNNNNNNNNNNNNNNNNNNNNNNNNNNNNNNNNNNNNNNNNNNNNNNNNNNNNNNNNNNNNNNNNNNNNNNNNNNNNNNNNNNNNNNNNNNNNNNNNNUAUAUAUAUAUAUAUAUAUAUAGUAGGGUUAGAAUACUUGUAAAAGUAUAAUGGGGGUGAUACUUGUGUGUUUUUAACCCUUGGAUGGAGAGAUGUGAGGUUGAGAUGAUGGUGGUAGGUGGUGGUAGGUGGAAUAGUGUUUAAUCCAAGGACUAUUAAUAAUCAAAAAGUAGAUCCAAUGGCUUAAGACCUAAUAGCACCAUGAUGGUGAUACUUGUAAAAGUAUCAUAGCUCAACUCUCUCUCUCUAUAUAUAUAUACAUAUAUAUGUAUAUAUAUACAUAUAUAUGUAUAUAUAUAUAUGAGCUAGUCUCCUAUACUAUUUAUAGUACUGGGGCUCCGGUACUAUAGUCUCGUUUUCGAUCUUAUGGUGUUCAAAUCAAUGAUCCACACCGUUAAAACUGAUCUAGGGUAUUUAAAGUUUUUAGAAAUAACAUUUUAUAUUUUUUCGACAUAGUUUACUUUAUGAUCAAACCAUUUCAAAAUUGUCAAUUUUCAAUGGCUACUAGGCGAGUUUGGAGUUUAACGGUGUAGAAGAAUCUAAAUUUCUUCAAAUUUGAUAGAAAAUACUUUAAACUAUCUAGAUUAAGGUUGACAUUUUUUAUCUUGAAUUUAAAAGUCCUAUGCUAAAAUUUUAAAGAUUAUUCAAUUUUCACCGUCCAUUUUUGACAUAAUUUAUUUACUAAGUAAACGAUGUCGAAAAAAACUAAAAUUUUAUUUCUAAGAACUUCAUAUACCCUAAAUCAUAUUUAACUGUGUGGAUCGUUAAUUUAAAUACUCUAAGAUCGAAAACAAGACUAUAGUACCGAAGCUCCGAUACUAUAGAUAGUAUAGUAGCCUAAUUCUAUAUAAAUAUAUAUGACUUAGGCUGGAAUACUAUCAAUAGCACCAAGCUAUUGGUGUUAUUAGGUUUUCUGCCCUUAGAUGAAAAAAUAUACGGUUAAGAUGAUGUGGGCCCCUUAGAGUUGAGUAGGUUAUUGGUUUAAUAGUACAAUCUAACGGUUAAAAAUAGUUAAAGGGUUAAAUCUAAUGGCGAAAAAUUUGAUAGCACCAAAUGCUCGGUACUAUCGAUAGCAUCCUAGCCGGACUCUCUCUCUCUCUCUCUCUCUCUCUCUCUAUAUAUAUAUAUAUAGAGAGAGAGUCCGGCUACUAUACUAUCAAUAGUACAAAGCCCUUAGUACUAUUGAGUUUUCUACCGUUAGAUAUACCCUUUGAUCAUUUCCACCCGUUAGAUUACACUAUUAUACCAACCACCCAUUCAACCCUAGGGGACCACUAUCAAUUUAACCGGGGACCACUAUCAUUCUAACCGCACAUUUUUUCAUCCAACGGCCGAAAACUCAAUAGUACCAAGGGUUUGGUACUAUUGACAGUAUAGUAGCAUAUAUAUAUAUAUAUAUAUAUAUAUACUAUAUAUAUAUACAUCAAUAUAUAUACUCAUAUGCUACGGUUACUUUACUCUUACAUGGAGUAUAGGAGCCCUCUUUGUAACUCAAUAAGUUUUACAAACUCGUUAAGAAUUGGAAACGAUUGUGUGGUUUAGGGGAUCUGAUAAAGUGGUCCCCGGUUUAAGUUCUUUAAUUAGUCGGUUCCCCUAGUUGUUUAGAGGUGGGGUGGUGGUUGGGUUGAAAUAGUAUUUGAAGUCUAAAACGGGUUUGGGAAAAAAAUUGAUCAACAGGAAUAGAUGUAAACGCUCAAUAAUAAUUAUUAAGUAUAAAAGGGGGUCUAUUAACUCAUAAGGAGUUAUAGUUUGCCGGAUUCUAUAUAUAUAUAUAUAUAUAUAUAUAGUAGUGCUAUUAGAAACACGUAGGCCGUAGUUCCAUAAAUAUGAUUUUUUUUUCACUCAUUUUUUAUUUUCUUCUUAUCUGUAAUUUCUUAGGUGCGUAAUUCUCCGCAUUUGUGUUACGAUCCAUUUGUUGUUAGAUCAAUCGGCUAUUCAAUUACUUAUGUUAAUCUAAUCUCGUACUAUUAAAAAAUUCUGCACACUGGACAGUAAAAAAAUUGACUCUCCCAUUAUUACUGCAUACUUACUUUUAGGGCUCAUACAAAUAAUGUGAAGGUGUGCAUGAUAGCGGCGCACGUUAGCAGAAAAUAAUCUCAUUAUUUAUUAAUUAAUGAACUUAAAUAGUCAAAAAAAUAUAUAAUUAAUUAUGCAAAUCUUAUCUGAGGCAUUGCCGGGAAGUCAGUCCUUUGUCGGUAGGGCUUCCCCCAAAAGCAGAAAAAAAAAAUCACUUUCUGCCCCUUGCAAAAAAAGUGAUUUUAAAAAAAGUCCCUUCAACUUUGUCCCUACAAUAAAUAAAUAAAUAAAUAAAUAAUUGGUAUAUUUCCUAUGCUUUUUUAAGAUAAGAUGGUAAGUGGACCCGUUAUCGACCCGAUAACAUGAUCCGAACAUUAUAAAAGAAAUUGUAAGAUUCGGAUCCGAUAAGAUGGAUCCGGUGGUUCGUGAAAAUUUUAUUAAAGUCUAUUUGAUUUUGUUCGUAUUCUGUAAAAAUUAUUCUAUGCUGAAUAAUAAUCAGAUAAAUAAAUUCGGACAGAAAAAAUAUAACGAAAUUUCUAAGAACCAGAUUAAAUCGUAUUAACGAUAAUGCUAAGUCAGAAAUGAACUAGAGUGCAAGAAAAGCAUGAAUCAAGCUCGAAAAUUAUAUGAGAAAGCUUGGGCUCGGCCAAGAAAAUAAAAACUUAAGAUGAUAUUUGAGAUGUGCUGAUUGAAAUUUUAAUUUGUAUUGAAUAUAAAUUAAUACUGUUAAAAAUAUGUUCUAUCAGGCCAAAUAUGUAUUUAGAUUAUAAUUAAAAUCAAAUAUUUAUCAAAUUUGAAUGUACAUCAGUAAAAAAUCAGAAACUAAUUUUUUACUUUUAUAUGCGCUCACUUAUUAGUUGAUAGAAUAUUCGUGAUUGAUCUUAUGUUGAAUGAACAACUAAAUUAUUAUCUUAUCAGAAAAAUUUAAUACGCAGCAAUGUAAAACAUAUUAACCCUAAAAAAAAAAAAAAAGGGAUCAAAAUAAUCUUUUACAUUUCUAAGUCUUUUCACUUUUUUAAACUGUUAUUUGUUGAUUUAUUUUUAUUAUUAUUACAAAUUAGUCCUCCCACUCCACUCAAAUCAGUCCCACUUAUUCUCCUUCCUUUUCCACACAGAAGAGAUGAUUGAUGAUUAUAAUAUACCCCCUGAAAUAAAUAAAUAAAUAAAUAACAACUACUUAAUUUCACCACAACUUAGGAAACAAAAAGGGGAACAAAAUUAAAGCCAUGUAGCUCUAAUUAAUAAAACACACUCAUUACUGCUACCACACCAUAACCAUAAAGUGUACACUAACCACCACUAAACCAAAAAAUAAAAAUUUAAGAAAAAAAAGUAAAGGGGAAAAAAGAAAAGAAAAAGAGGAACUAUUACAAGAAGCUUCUUCUCUUCAUCAAAACCCCUCCCACACAAGAGCUCUUUUUUUUUUUUUUUUUUUUGAAAAAAAAAAAUCUCUUUUUUUUGUUAUUUUUGCUCUCACCCCCCUCUACUUUUCUUUAUUCUCUUCUACUGAGAUACUCACUCUCGUUCGUUAACUUACUUGUAGUAGUGGUGGUAGUGGUGGUGUAUAGAGGAAGGGAAAAAAAAAAAAAAAGAAAAAAGGAAAAAAAGAGGGAGAGUAGAGAAGAAGAAGAGGAAGAAGAAGAAGAAGAAGAGGGAGAGGGAGAGGUUGUGGUGGUGGUGGUUGUUGUGGAUGUCGCCUCCUCUGGAGCACGACUACAUAGGCCUCUCGGAGGCCUCGUCGGCGGCGGGGCCCGGGGGCGGCGGGGGGGCCGCCGGAGGGGAGGGGCGCGCGGCGGCGGCGGCGAUGAGCGUGAGGGAGACGGAGCUGAGGCUGGGGCUCCCAGGGUCGGAGUCGCCGGAGCGGAAGGAGGUGGGGGUGGGGCUCACGCUCGAGCUGCUGCCCAAGGGCCUCGUCUCCGGCGCGAAGCGGGGAUUCGCGGCGGCGGCGGCGGAUGCGGCGCCGGAGAAGGCGCCGGCGCCGGAGAAGAAGGCCCAGGCGCCGCCCCAGGGCGGCGACCGCGGCCUCGCCCCUGCUGCUAAGUAAGUGGUGGUGGUGGUGGUGCUUUGCGAGGGUUUUGGGAGGAGAUCCUGUGUGGAUCUCUCUCCCCCCCUCUUUACCCUUAUCUCUUUCUAGGGUUUUUAACUUUAGAUGUUGCAAUUUUUCUGUUUUUUUUUUCUUCUUUUUCUUUUUUCUUGGGUGGUGGGGAGAAGGUUUAGUUUGUAAUAAUUAGGCGGAUUUGUUUUCUUUUUUUUUUUUUUUAAAGUAAUUAAGAGAACUGUUGCUUUUUCUUUUUUGGAAUAAGAGAGAAAUUUGUAGAAUUCACUGCUGUUUCACUUUUAUUUUUGUUUGAGAAAAGUUUUUUUUUUUUUUUUUGUUUUGAGGAAAGAAUUGAAGAGAACUGAAGUUUUUGCUGUUAAUUUCCUUAAAUAAGGGAGACAUGUGUAAAAUUAACUAAUUUUUUCCUUUCAUAUUUGUUUGAGGAAGAAGAAAUUUUCUUUUUAUUUCUUUAGAUUUUUAUUGUUAAAUUUACUUAAAUAAGAGAGGAAUAUUUUUCUUUUAUUUUCUGGUUUUAUCAUGUUGCUUGUUUGAAUCAGACUAGUAGAAUGGUUUGAAUCUGAAGCUAGAUUAAAUUUUUAUUCCUAUUUGUGACCUGAUCUUUAUCGUAUUUUUUUGAAGUUCAAAUUUUACUGAUUUUUCACUCCAAAGUGGUUCUUUUUUGUUUUUUUUUUUGCUGGAAUUUUCUUACUAUUUAUUUUACAAUUUGAUGCUUUCCUUUACCAUUUUUCUCUCUGAUGGUUCUUAAAUUUGUUUUAGUUAAACAGCAAAUAAAACAUGAAUUCUCCUUUUCCAACUACUCCACAGCAUGUUUAUAGACUCUGGAUUUUGUGAUCUAUGCUCUGCAAAACUCUCCAAAAUUCCCGAUGAUUAAUCCACCUUAGCUUUUCUCCAUUUCUUGUGCAUAUCAAUUUUUCUUGCAAACACUUAAAAAUUAGAUCUGAGAGGAAAUUUGAGCUCCACAAUUUGAACAGGGCACAAGUGGUGGGUUGGCCACCAAUUCGUAGCUACCGCAAGAACACGAUGGCGACGAACCCACUGAAGAGCAAAGAAGAGGCGGAAGCGAAACAGGGGGCGGGAUGCCUCUAUGUUAAGGUUAGCAUGGAUGGUGCCCCUUAUCUCAGGAAGGUUGAUCUCAAAACCUACAACAAUUAUAAGGAUUUGUCGUCGGCGCUCGAGAAGAUGUUCAGUGGAUUUACCAUCGGUGAGCUCUGAUUUUGUCUGCAUUUGGUUUUGUUAUUCUCAUUUUUUUUUUCCCUGCAGCUAGUGAAUGAAAACAUCUGCAUUUUUGAUGUUUGCUGCGUGCUUGGCGAUAAUUUUGAUGCGGAAACUUAUUGGAAUGUUGGAAAUAUUUUUUUUAAUAAAAAAAACGAAUUAGUAAUGUCAUGAGUAAGCGCAUUGAAUGUCUAGUUUCUCUUCUUUAUCUCUGAUUGCUUUCUUUUCUUUUUCUUUAGGAUGAUAAUAAUAAUAAUGCCCUGCAUGUGGUUCGAUCAAGCAUAGUUUUGCUCAUCCACAAAUUUUUUUCUGUUUCUUAUUUAUUUGUGAACCUCAGGAAUUUACUCGGAAGGCAUUCAAGUUACUUUAAGAAAAGUAAAGCUGUGCACAUUGAAUGUUGUUAUCUCCGUUAAGUUUUUGUUCGAAGCUGUGUUACGUGUGAGCAUGAGGGGGAGUUUACUUGUGCUUGUUUUUCUUUUGUGGUCGUGCAGGUCAGUGUGGGUCUCAUGGAACUCAAGGGAGGGAUGGUUUAAAUGAGAGCCGGCUGACUGAUCUUCUUAAUGGAUCCGAAUACGUGCUCACUUAUGAAGACAAGGAUGGUGAUUGGAUGCUUGUUGGUGAUGUCCCGUGGGAGUAAGCACAUUUAUUUCGUCUAAUAUGAAUUUUCUAUCUGUACCCGGUAGAAAUCUAAAUUAAUAGGUUAUGAUAUCAUUUCCGUUACUUAAUUCAUGCCAAUUUAUCUCUUUUAUACUUUUCCCCAUUCAUUUUGGCACAUUGAUCUUCAUAACGUAGAAAGUUGUUCAGUUAUGGACGACGUUGUACUUAUUCUAGUUAUCUGUUGGCGUAAAUCUCUGUCCUUUCAUCGUAUGUAUUUUCUAAUAUCCGAUUGUGCUUGCAUUUGAAUAUGCAUUUAAGUGAUGCUUGACUACUGAUUUUUUCUUGAUUGUUUGAAUUUCAGGAUGUUCACGGACUCUUGCCGGAGGCUGAGGAUCAUGAAGGGUUCAGAUGCAAUUGGACUUGGUAAGUACAAGUCAACAGUCAACAACUGGAACUUAGUAACUGAUUUAUCUUGCUUAUUUCUGCAUUCUGAUACGUGAACCAAAACUUAUAUGAGAUCAUCUAAAUCAUGGAUUCCUUGGUAAAGAUUUUUCAAUUUCCAACUUUUAUUUUCAAACUCGAGAACAUUUUCCCUCCACUUUGCUUAAUGUAACGAACCCACUUGAGUCUUUUGAUUCCUUAAAUGAACUUUGGCCUGAGUGCCCAACUUCAUCUUUAUGGCUUGAAAUCGUUAGUUCUACUUGAAGACUAGUACCUUUGCACUAACCAGGUAAGGGGUUUUUAUUCCGUACAGCAAUGUAGGAUAAGGAAGUCUCUACAUGUCACCAUCAGCUUGAAAAGAGAGCAUUGAAAGUUUGAUCAGGAUCAUCUUGUAGUAGUUUUGCAAUUAUUAGGCCAAAUGGUAUUUUGAUCUUAAGAACGUAGCAUGUGAUGGCAUUCUUAUUCUCAAAUUUGAAUUAAUAUUAUCUUGUAGAAAUCUUUCUAUUAUCAUCUAGAUCCAUUUAACGACUCCUUGUUUAUAUCCAAACAGGCAGAGAUUUCACUAGUUUGAACUACUUUAUUAUAUAAAAAAGAUUUCUAUCUUUUGGUUGUGAAACACCUACGGUAGUUUUCGUAUUCAGCAUAUCCUUCUUAAUUUUCCUUCAUGAUUUAUUAAAAAAAAUUGCCUGUGACAAUCGUUCUUCAUGUAUGCCGAGGAAACCAUGUUGAUUAUUUCUCACAGGGACAUUCUGUCCUGUGCUUGUUUUAGGAGAUUAUUGUCUUUCUUAUGAAUUUGUUCCCUACAAUACAAUGCUAGUAUUUAAUUCGAGCAAUUAAAACCUCUUAAUGCUAAUAUGUAGCUCCGAGGGCUGUGGAGAAGAGCAAGAACCGGAACUAGCAACAACUCCGCUAUCCUCAGUUGAAGAGCGAGCAAAUCCGGUGGCUGUAAGGGACCUCAUCAAAACUGAAACCUCUUAAGUGUUUUUAGCUUGCAAUUAUCUUAUGUCUAUCCUAUUUUGUGGUUUGCCGUUUUCACGCGUGGACUACGUCUUUUAUGUUAGAUUGCUAAGUUCUCCUAGGAACAUAAGCUCUAUUAGAUUGUCAUCAAGUCUUUGUACGCCUGCUUGUUAUUCUAUUUGUGUAAAUGCUUGGUAUGAUGCUUGCAACUACUGUGGUUUGGACACUAUUUUCGUUGAUUGCAAAUGUAUCCGCAGACUCGGUUGUUCUACUAUGGCGACUGUCCAAAGUCUAAUCCAAAGCAAUGCGAGUCAAUUUAUAUUUGAACAUUAGAACCAUCACAAUCAUAGAUAACCCUGGCUUUUCCUCUUCAAUAAAUGCCGUUUUGGUCGUCAGCCACCUAAUUCUUACGAUUUUCUGGAAAUUAUCUUUGGAAACAGUUCUGCAACAAUACAAAUUGAACUACAUAUAGUGCCCAUAUGAAGGGACUAUCCCUUUAGAGAUGUUUCUAUAUAUUAACAAAACACAUUUUAUCCCAUUGUGCCUGCUUUUUUUUUCUUCUAUAGGAAGUUGUUCUCUGAGUUGCACUCAUGUCACUGUAACCUGAAAAGCCUCAUGAAUUAGUUUGUGUCCAGUUUUCAAAUGCAGGGAUGCUUCUCUGCAGGCUUUUUUUUCCUUUUCUCCUCAUCCUCUCACUAGAACAUUGCAUUGGUAAAACUACACUCAAUGGCCUCCUUUUUUAUUAAAGUUUUGUUGUGUGUGGGGACCUUUUAUACACACUCCAACCUACAUUUUUUAGGGCUAUCAUAUUGUCUACACAUGGUAUCAAUGGCUCCCUUCUUAACCAUCAUUCAGGUAAAAAAGAAAAAAAAAAAAUAAAACAAAGAGAAAAAUAAAACAAAGAAUAUAAUAGAAGUAGAAGUAGAAGAAGGAGAAGGGAAAUGAUGGUGGUUUUGUUCCCCUCGAAUCAGGCUUUCAUUGUCCUUAGAAUCAGGCUUUUUUAAUACUAGAAAUGAUGCUUCCCUCUUCUUCUUCCUCUCAGCUUUUUAAUGAUGUGUAUAUGUUGGUGGGCAUGUGAAGCAUUUGUAAUAUAUUCCUUUAGAUCCCUAUACUAUAUUAAUGUCCCAAUAUAUAUAUAUAUAUAUAUAUGAGAAUCAGUAUCUAACCCAAUCAAGCACCUUUAUCUAUAUACCUAAUUAUGCCAAUCCUUUUUUAUCCUUCUUCUAAGGCCUUCACUUUGCAAAUCACUAUCUUUUAUCUUUUUGCAGCUGCUCAAUUCAUUGUUGUUUAACCGUUCUCUCUCUCAUGUUCUCUUUAAAGUACAUUGAACUACCUAAGAAGUUAUCAUUUGGAAAGUAGCAUGCUUAUGCUUAGAACUUAUUAGUCUCUGACACUGUUUUAUAUACCAUUUUGCUUAAGUGUUUAUGUAAAUAAAUAAAUAAAUAAACUACAAUGAAAUUCCCACUUAUCAAAUUGGAAAUAUGAGACCAUGAGACCAUAAUUACCUUUGUCACUUUCCCCAAUUUUGAAAAAAAAAAUUUAGACCAUUUUCUCUCUAUCUAUGUCAAGAGGAAAAAAAAGAAAAAGAAAAAAGGCUAUGAUAGUUAUGGGGUAUGGGUGUGGAAAUUAAGUACAUAGAUAUCUAUUUCAAGUGCUUAAUUAUUGAGAAUGAGACAAUAGCGAGGAGUUAAUAUUAUUAAUAGCAUUCAAGCCCUCAGGCCAGGUUUUUCAUUAUUACCUUUUUAUUUUUUGUUUAAUAUAAUAAUGAAAAGAGUUUUUUUUUUUUUUUUUUUUUUUUUUUUUUUUUNUUUUUUUUUUUUUUUUUUUCCCUGUCAUGAUUGGUUAGCUUAUAAUAACUUCGGCUAAAUGAUGAAUAAUAAAUAAAUAUCUUAAAUGUAAGAACUGCGAGCAAUUCGUCAUUCUCUUCUACACAAUUUCAUAUAGAAAUUUUAUACAAAAAAAAAAAGCAACAAUACAUACUUUAUUUCUCUCUUCCCUUGAAAAGUGAAAAACCAAAAAUAAACAAAACUAUCAUAGUUAGGGAGCAUGGACAGUAGGGAUGGAUAUAUCCAAAUGUUUGUAGAUAUAAAAAGAGAGUUACUAGUUAUGCUGCAAUGAAUGAGAGGCAUGUGGGUGCGGGGAUAUAUACAUACACAUAUUAUAUAUUCCCAUACACAUAUUGGGGUAAGUUUACAUUAAAUAAUUUGAAGUGAUUCAUUUUGGAAUUUAACUACUACAAAGACCCCUUUUUAACUACAUUUGGAUCCCAGGAUUUAAGGGUCCUGCUUUAAACUUUGUGAACCACAUGUUUUUGUUUUCUCUUUUUUUUCUUUUUUUUUUUUUGGUCACUCAUAUUUAUCCUUUGUACAUACACAUAAAUUUGUCCUAUGUGAGGCCAAAUUAUUGAUGUAACCUCUCACUUUGGCUUUAAUAUUCUUGGGUGUUGCUGGGUGAGGUUGGUAUCUUGUUGGGGUGUUACGUGGGUUUGUCUUUUGUUUGCAUUUAUCUUGGUAAUAAAUAAAAAAAGAGAGGUAAGUUUUGGAUUAGAUUAUGAUAAUGUUCUUAAUUAUUCACAGUUGACCUUUGAGCUUCAGAAAAUCUUAAAAAAAAAAAAAAAAAAGAGUCAGGUGAAGAGAGCAUUGACAAAUCAAGUUUGAAGAUUUAAUCUUAGCCAUUCAUCACGUUUUAAAUAAAAAAGAGCAAAAAUUAAUAAACAAAGAGUAUAAGUUAGUUAGUGUCUCUGACAAUUAUAUUACUCAUGUUGGUUUGAAGGUCGGAUGUCAACGGAUACGGAUAUAUGAAAUUUUAUCCGAAUUCGGACUCGAACGGAGUAGAUUUGUUCGAAGUUAAACGAAUAUGAUUUUAAAUAUGAGAUCAAAAAUAAAUGUCCGAUGGAUAUGAAUUCGAAUAUGGAUUUGAAUUUAAAUGAAGUUGGUAUUUGUAAUAUAAAAUUUUAAUUUUUAAAUUUAUAUUAUACUUUUAAAUUUGAAUCUAAAUUGAAUUUUUAAUCUUAAAGCCAAAUUUUAAUUUUUUGAGUUAAAUUGAAAUUUUGAAUUGGAACUAAAGGUUUUUAUUUUAAAUUUAUGUUUUAUAUUUAAACAAUUGAAUUUAAUUUAUAAUUAAGUUUUAAAUGUUGUUUUGAAUUUAAAAUUUAUAGUUUGGUUAUAAUUUGAAAUCCAAUUAUUGUUGUAGGUAUCUGAGAAAGUCGUACUAUUCUUAGUUGAAUAAAACCGGCUUUUGUAGACCAAAAUAUUUUGCAAAGAUCAAAAAUAUUCUUUAAAUAGGUACUUGGUGAAUGGUACCUAUACCUUUAGUAGGGUGGCAACCAAGCUCGCUGUUUCGCGACAGCCAGCUCUUGUGUUCGCUCAAAUGACUUCGAGAUCGCUCGCAUCGUUAGUAAAACGACCGAACGACGAGCUGGAUUUUUCAGAAGCUCGUUUAAUAAACGACCGAACACGAGCUAGGUCAGCUCGCUCGUGUUCGGCUCGAUAACAGCUCGAUUAUAUUUAUUUAUAUUAAUAAUUUAUAAUAUUAUAUAUAAAUUAUAUUGUAUUAUAAAUGUAAAAUACAGAUUAUUAAUUUAUUUUUAGCCAAUUUUAUAAAAAUUGAGCAUAUUUAUAAACGAGACCCAUAGGCCCAUUUAUAUUUAGAGUUGCUUAUUUUUCACUCAUGGCCCAUGGCCCAUUGCCCAUGAAAUAAGUUCCUCUUUUAUUCCUCAAGGGCCAAAUCACCUCUCUCUUUCUCUCUCUCUCAGGGUGCUCCAGAUCGAGUACCAAACUAGCCAUGGGCUGGCGGCGGAGGCAGGCGAUGGGGAUGCUGCAGGCGGAUGCGCGGCGGCGCAAGAGGUACGCGGCGCUGGUGUCGCGGAGGAGAGCCCGAGCACGUGCGGAAGGCGCACGAGGCUACUUCGCAUACUUCGCGAAACUCCUCGCGACCACAAAACAAUGGGCGAUGACAAUGGUGAGGAGAGGAGGAGGAGGUGUGGGUGCCGUAUAGGGGCGCGAGUGAGCUCCCUCAAUAGGAAGGGGGUUCGAGCGUUUUGAGGUUUACAAUGGUUCGUGGUGACGGGAGCUGCAACGACCCCACACGACGAUCCUUGAUCCCGACCUCGCGUCCCUCCUCCAAGAUGCCAUCGCCCCUCGCAAGAAGGUGCUCGGCAUCUGCUUCGGCCACCAGGUACAGUAAACGACCGAACACGAGCCGCUCGAUUAAGUUUCGAGUCCGAUCACGAGCCAGAGUUUUCGAGCUCGUUACGAGCUCGAGCCAACACGAACGAGCCGACCUAGAAGACAACGAUCCGAGCUCGACUGCUCCAGCUCGCUCGAGCUCGGCUCGUUUACAGCCUACCUUUAGGUAGUGUUUGUUCGGGAAUAGGGGCGAAUAAGCCCUUGUUCCCCCUUUUUUCCCAACGCAAUUUUUGCUCCCGGGAACAGUAGUUUCCGGAAUCUGGAAACUAGCUGGUAUAAGGCUGAACUGCUGUUCCACUCGUUUCUGGAACAAACUUGUUCCUUGAUGAGAAAUAAAUUAAUUAAAAAUCUAAAUUUAAUUUUAAUGGCAAUAAAUUAUUAAUUAAUCUAAUUAAUAUAUAUAAAUUCAAUUAUUUAUUACUUAAUAAUUAAAUAAUUUAAAUAAUUUAUUAUUUAUAAUAUAAAUAUUAAUAAUUAAUAAUUAUUAUUAUUAAUUAUUAUUUAUAAUAAUUAAUAAAUAAUUAAUAAUAUCAUUAUUUUUUUAUUAAUAAUUAUUAUCUUAAUGACAAUCGAUAUAUUAUUAAUUUAUUAUUUAUAAUUAAUAAUUAUUAAUAAUUAAUUAAUAAUUCUUAUUCUUAAUAAUUAGAUAAUGGAUAUUAUAUAAUUUAUUAUUUAUAAUUAAAUAAUAAAAAUUAUUAUUAUUAAUUAAUAAUUAUUAAUAAUUAUUAUUUAAUAAUAAUUAGAUAAUUGAUAUUAUUAUUUUAUUAUUUAUAAUUAAUUAUUAAUAACUAUUAAUAAUAAUUAUUAUUUAUAAUUAAUUAUCAAUAAUUUAUUUAUUAUUUAUUUUUAAGUAAUAUUUUGAUGUUAAUUAAUUAGAUAAUAAAAUUUUAAUUUCAAAUUAUAACUCUUAUUCCUCUUGUUCCAAUCUAACCAUCCAAACAUUAUUUACCUUAUUCUUAGGAACAACCCAAUUUUCAUCCAAACGCAAAAUUGGUCUAGUUUCUGUUUAUACCUGAACUUGUACCUAUCCCUAGAACUAGCAGUUCUUACUUAUACCCGAACCAAAUAGGUCACCUUUAUAGAGUCAUAUUAAAUAUAAACCAUCUAUUAAAAAAAAUAAAUGGUCAAAAUUUAUAUGAUGUAUUGAAGUAUUACUUUAGAAAAUUAUUGAUUUUGAAUCCUUUCAAUCGUUGGAUAAUAAUAUUAAAAUACCACAAUUUAUUUUCUAGAUACUUUAAAUAUGCUAAAUCAAGUCAAAUGAAGCCCAGCGACAUCCAAUCCCACGCCUCCUUCGCCUUCAGCGACUACUUCGCUUCCCCGCCCCCCGUCCGCGACUUCUCCGGACCCGCCGCCCUCACCUCCCUCAACCCUUCCCCAGGUCCAGCUUAAUUUUUGUUUAAUUUUCCUCGUUAUUGUUUUAAUUAGUUCAUUACUUUCAUUUUGUUUUUUUUUUUUUUACUUUCUUUCUUUUUUUCUUUUUGUGUGUGUGUGGGAAUGUUACAUUCUUUUUGUGUGUGGGGGAAUGUUACAGGUCAUGGUAGCUGCAAGUAUAUUCCCGUCCAGGUUCGCGCCCUCGCCCUUCUUUCGCUUUCUCCGUAACGUAUUCUCGCUUCUUUAUCACUUACCUGCUACUGAAAUGUGGUGGUAAAUUAAGCUCCUUUCUUUUUCCGUUUUAAGUUCAACCAAAAAUGAAUCACUUUAAUCAUAGUAUAUCUCAUAUAUAUAUUUCUCAAUCAAUAACACGUAAUCUUGUUGGCAGCAUGUUUGCAAAGCCAGAGUAAACUCUAUUCGUUGUUAGUAGUGACUAUAUAUUACCAAACACGGGUUGCAAAUUGAUCAAAACCGAAAGAAAACGAUGAGAUCGAAAGCGUCGGGCCAACGAAUGUAAAACAUUGUGAAAUUUGUAUGCGGACAUAAGUAUUUUUCUGCUCAGAACACACUUUCUAUUGCAUAUUAACAAAGAGAAUGCAUGUGUGAUAGGUGGAUGUUAAGAAACAUAUCGCAGCCUAUUCGAACAAGAUUGACUAGUUUGAUAAUCUGCUGGUGGAUCAUUUGGGAUUUAAGGAAUAAUGCUAUUUUUAGAAAUGAUUAUGCAUAUCCUAUGAUGACGGUAACUAAGAUAUUGAGAUUGGCCACCCAGUGGGAAGAUUUUCUGUCGACUAAAAGGCAACUUUCUUAGUGUUUUUUUUUCUUUCGCUUCUGCCGAGGUCUCUUUACCUCACCUAUGUUGCUUAAUUCAUAUUUUUAAUGAAUGAAACAGAUAGUGUGCUACAUUUUUUUCAAAAAAAAAAAAAGCAUGCAUUUAAAAUAAACACAGAGCGUGCUUGAUUCGCUUCUUUUUCAUUCUGGAAUCGGGAUCGGAAUGGGCGAAUCUGUUUGUGAUUAUUUGGUACGCGGAAAUUCCAUUCCGAUUUCGAUUUCCGAGUUGAAUGAGAAUCCCUCAAUCAUCAUUUUUUCCAAUCCGGCUUAGAAAGCCGGAUUAGAAGUUGAAUUCGGACGGAAUGAAUAUUUAUUCAGAUUAAAUUUAAUUUUUUAAAUUUCUUAAUUAAAAUAUGAGUUUAAAUUUAGAAAUUAAAUUUAUAAUUUUAAAUUUUAAUUUAAAUUUGAAUUAAAAAUUAAAAUUUAAUCAAGGAUUUCGAAUCUAACUUAUGAAGUUGAAUUUAAAUUAAAUUUUAAUUUAUAUAAAGUUUUAUUCAAAUUUUAUUUAAAACUUAAAUUAAAUUUAUGGAUUCAAAUUAAAAUUUAAAUUGUAAUUUUAAGUUUGAAUUUGAAUAAAUCAAAAUUUAGUUUUAUAUUNAUUAUAUUAGUUAUUACCAUCAAAUAGAAAAGAUAAUUAAUAGAUGAUUAUCCUUUCGGUUUUCAAAUAAAUUAAAGUUUAUCUCUCUCUCUCCAAUGUGUAAACGCGUAAACGCAUGAAAGAUUAGUAGGCCUUAUUGACUAUUUGUAUUUUUUCCAAACACAUAACUCACACGCGAAUCCAAUAGAAUAACAUGUAAAAAAAAUAUAUAACCUAGGAAAACUAUUUGCACUUUCGCCCCCCCCCAAAAAAAAAAAAGGAGUUCGUAUGUAGGGGUGUCAACGAACGGAACACGAGCGAGUUGGAGUUGGCUCGUGUUCGGCUCGUUUCAUAAACAAGCCGAACACGAGUUAGCUCGUUAACGUAUUGAGCCGAAAAAUUUGGCUCGUAUUUGGAUCAUUUAUUAACGAGCUGAUGACUUGUGAAUAAGAAUUUAAAAGAAUUAAAAAAUAUAUAUAUAUGAUUUUAAAUUCAAUCUAAAUAUAAAAUCCGACUUAAUUAUAAAAUAGUUUAUUUAUAUAUAAAUUUUUAGCCAUGAGGUCAAAAUAUAAUUAACAGGUAAGAUCUUAUAAUUCAUAUAUAUAUAUUUUUUAAUUCUUUUAAAUUCUUAUUCACAAGUCAUCAGCUCGUUAAUAAAUGAUCCAAAUACGAGCCAAAUUUUUCGGCUCAAUACGUUAACGAGCUAACUCGUGUUCGGCUUGUUUAUGAAACGAGCCGAACACGAGCCAACUCCAACUCGCUCGUGUUCCGUUCGUUGACACCCCUACAUACGAACUCUUUUUUUUUUUUUGGGGUGAUUUUUCUUCCCCUUUUCAUAGAUUGUAUGGUAAGGAGAGACAAUACUAUUAUAUUAUAAGCGAAAGUGCAAAUAGUUUUCCUAGGUUAUAUAUUUUUUUUACAUGUUAUUCUAUUGGAUUCGCGUGUGAGUUAUGUGUUUGGAAAAAAUACAAAUAGUCAAUAAGGCCUACUAAUCUUUCAUGCGUUUACGCGUUUACACAUUGGAGAGAGAGAGAUAAACUUUAAUUUAUUUGAAAACCGAAAGGAUAAUCAUCUAUUAAUUAUCUUUUCUAUUUGAUGGUAAUAACUAAUAUAAUUUGAAAUUAAUAAAACCUUUUCUUUUGGUUAUCAUAUAAAAAUUUUAAUAAAUCAUAUAUAAUCUUACCAACAUAAAAUAUCCUAAUAAUUCAUAUACAAUUCUAACAAACUAAUUUCUUUCCAUAUAAUCUUAACAAAUAUAUAUAAAAGUUUCUACAAGCAUAUACAAUCUUAAUAAGCUAAAAAAUCUUAACUACCAAGCAAUACAAUCUUAAUAAUAAAAAUAUUCUAAUAAUCUUCGUACAGUCCAAUCUCACAAACAAAAAUCCUCACAAAAGAUAAUAAUAUGAAAACGGUGAAUAAUUGAUCGCCCAACCUAUCCAUAUAAUAUUAACAAUCAAAAAAAUUUUAAUAAUUAAUCUACGCACAAUCCAACCUCACAAAAAAAAAUCCUCACAACCAAUAUAGAAAAAAGAUAACUGUACGAAAACGGUGACUUUCUAAAGGCGGUGAAUAAUGCACUGCUUUUCUUAUUUUUAUUCACGUUUGACAAAUUAGAAAUUUUUAUAAAAUUAUUUUUUUAAAAAAAGUGCUAUGCAAGCAUCUCCUCUGUUAAAACAAAAAAAAAUCCUGAGUUAAAAUUUAAUAAUAGUUUAUAAAUAUUUUACUAAGAUAAUACAUAAAUAUCCUAAAGUACAAUUAACCUUACUAACCAAUGAAAACUGAAAUAACAUAUUCAUCCCUCGCUGCAGAUUCUCCGGCAGUAAUUCUAACCAAGAAACGCAUCCGACCGACAAAGCGGGCACGUCGAGUGCUGGCGAAGCCAAGGGUCGACGCAGUCCGCAUGAAACAUGUGCGCGCACACCGGCAAUAAUCUCACCAUAUCCCCCGCCGUCAAUGAACCUAAGCAGACGGCGCAAACCGUCCGACCGUCACCGCCUCUGCCGCCACCGCCAUCUUGUCGUAAUGCAAACGCAGGAUGCACUUGUCGGGCAGAAGAAUAGAGCACACGGUCUAGCAAACUACUGAUGCGUCGACGACACUGUUGCAAUGCCUCUCUAUAGUUUUCCAGAGCGCAAAUCCCGGCAAAGACAAUGGCGACGGCGGGGACGAAAGCGUCGCUGCCCGAAAUACCCGGAGCAAAGAUCACUAGAAACAGAGGAAGUAUGCCCAUAAUGUGCACCAUCACCGGGUCCAUCUUGCACCCCUAGCUGGAGCAACGGAUCUAACUUGUCCUAGAUCACCCUCUAUAUAUAUAUAUAUAUAUAUAUAUAUAUAUAUAUAUAUAUNGAUUAAAGAUUAGUAGAUUCUCACCACACUUGGAUUUGGAUUAUAAAUUAUAGAGAUUGCAAUCCUUUUGAUUGUAGAGUUAGCUCUUAGAUCCGUAGUUAUCUAAAUUGAGAGUAAAUCCUAAUCAAAUUAGGAUGAGAUAUAAUUUAAAUUUAACUUGGUCUAUAUAGAUUAUAAGUAGGAAUAUAAUUCUAAUUGAGAUAGAAUUAGAACUUGUGUUUAAAAGUUAUGCAUUAUAUUUAUGCAUGCUAUGACCUAGUUAAUGACGCCACGAUUCUAAUUAAGCCAUACACGUUAAAGACAGUUGAUCAAAACCCAAUUGCAUUGGUGGUCCGUGGGCUGAGAUGACUCCCCUGGUGCUAAUUAAUUAAGUUGAUCUCUUGAGCCGCAUUUUACUGCGAGAGAACCAACCUUUUUUUCUUUUUUUUUUUUUUUGUGUUACGUACGGUAAGGAGGAGCCGUAGCAUUAAUUACAACGCGUCUUUCUCGUUUCGGAUCUAAUUAAAUCUUCGAGUGAUCAUAUUUGUACUCCGUCUUUUGAUAUUAAUAAAGUAUUUGCUCCGUCUUCGUCCGUGAACGUAAACCGUUGGCCGAACUACGUUAAUCUUGAUGCGCUAGCUCUUUCCUUUUUCUUUUCUCUUUCUACAUUAACUAUUUUUGUGGAUCUACUUUUUACCGUUUCGAUUUUAACAAUAAAUAUAGCUGGAUUUUAUAAGUAUAGAUACAAUGGGAUUUCUUGAAAACAAGUGGUAGAAUAAGAAUAUUCUGGGAUGCCGAGUUCAUAAGAUCAUCAUCUAAUAAGAGAUCCUCGAAUAGAAUUUUUUUAUUUCUUUUCCCUUCAUUCAACAAUCAUUCACUCGCCCUAAUUUUUUUUUUUUCCUGCUUAUGUAACCACAACUUGGUCUACAACUUUCUCUCUGUGUCUCAGGUUUUUCGUGAUAUUUGUGUAUACAUUUUCUUAACUUUCUGGUAAAUAUAUUGAGCGACAUGAACGGACCACGCAUCAUAGUUAAUCAAUAUUCGUGGGUGGAACUUCUCUAUUUUGAGAAGCAGCAGUUAAAUAAUUGGCAAGCAAAAAAGAUUAAAUCUUUUGUUUUAGUUGAAAGCUAGAAUGAGCCUAAUUAGAUCCAAAUUUGAGUCCCGCUGCUGUUGUUACUAAUUAGCUGUUGCAGGAUCUUAAUAAAAAAAAAAAAGAUAACCUGUUUGUGCUUCUUCAAACAUCUUUUUACUCAUACAACACUUUUGCAGAAACUCCAUUGGGGCUUAACAAGCCUUCGAUGUGAAAAUAUAUAUCGAAGUUCGUUUUUCUUUUUCUUGUAGUUCAUCUGCACACAAUUGUGUUGGGUUUCUCCAAAAUAUGAUCUUACAUUCAUAUUUGUACUUUAUGCGGUCUCCAUGCAGGGUCAUGUACUCAUCAUGCAGGAUGCUGAAUCUGGUAAUUUGAAGUGUAAAUGGAGGAGAUUUUCUUUAGUAAUGUGAUCUUUGUUCAUGUUUUGGAUUCGAAGAUUGUGUGUAUUGUUCUCUGCAAGAUAAAUGUUGUUCUUUUUUUUUCAGAAUCCUAACUAAUGUAAAAUUAGUAAUGUGAUUUUUCUUCUUUGUAAUGUAUUCGAAUAUGUAUCCACAUACAUCUGUAAACUGAAGUACCAUGAAAUGUAAUAUUUUGGUUGUAAAAAAAUAAAUACUUUUUCCGUGUCUUUUUUUUUUUUGGGUCAGCAACUUGUGUAGAAUCUCAGUACUAUCCUGAUAUUACUUUGUCUUUGAACUUGUUACUGCAACAUUGUAGUCACUGAACUUUCUCAUAUGUUGCGAUUUUAUUCUCUUUUCGCAAAAAAAAAAAAGAAAAAAAAAAGAAAAAAAGAAUCGUGGUAUAUGUGGGAACAUAUUCUAAUAAUCCAACUAAUGCUUUAGAUUUUUUGUAAUAUCUAUUGUUUUUUCUUGUGGUUGUUGUAUUAGUAAUUUUAUGUGACAUUUUUGGUCAGUGUGCAUCAAUUACUUAAAUUUCUCAACAUCAUAAUGUUGAUACAUUAAUAAUAUAUAAGAGUAGUAUUUUUGAGAGAUAGGUAGCAUGCUAUCCACUUCCUUUAUUUUAUUUAGAAGUAAACUUAGCUAGAAAUGCGAAUCAACUAGGAUUCGAACUUGAGUCUCGGGUACCAACCACCAAGCCCUUUGUCACUUGCUCUAGUGACAGUUGGUCUCUACAUCAUAAUGUUGAUACAUUAAUAAUAUGAAGUUAUUCGUGUAUUGCGGCAGACUAAUGCUAUAUAAGAUAGAAGAUUGAUAAAAUAAAAAUUUUAAAAUUUUUUCACUAGCCAUGAGAUAUCAAUAAAUAAAGAUAAUAUAUUAAUAUAUACAGAUAGAAAAGAUGAAACAAAUAUAAAUACAGAUACAACAAAAUUUAUAAUUUUAACAAAUAAAUUAUAUAUUAUAAUAAUGAAAGAAACAGCAAUACAGUUACUACUCCAUCGCACCUUGAUCGCACUGUCGAUAUCGGGGAGGUGAAUCUCGAUCUCCACAUCGCGUUCGCCUCUAUUGUCGGCGUUAAGCUCCUCCUUGGUCAUGGCCACGUCUAUUCCGGACUGAUCCCCUCAAACCCACCACUUAUUUCUCCUCAUCGACUCCAAAUACUUUGCCGCUUCCUUGCUUCGUGUCACGUCGCGAUCCCCCGAACCCUAAUUUCAAUCUAUACACAAUUUAAAAAACAAGUUAAGAAAAUUACAAAAUAUUAACCUUUCUUGUGCCCCAAAAAAAAAGAAAAAAAAAUGUAAGGAAAAAGAGUAUAAAGAUAUUUUAUUUUACUCGUCUUUUUUUUGUGAAAGUGAAUUUCAAUCUCCCUGUCACCUUUGCUGCCAUUGUCGGCAUCGAGUUCCUCUUUGGUCACGGCCAUUGAUUCCAUACGGAUCCCCUACACCCAUCGCUUCUUCUCCUUCAUCGAUUCUAAAUCCAUCGCCGCUUCUCCUAGUCGUGUCGCGCCCGCGAAACGUUAAUUUCGAUCCUAACACAAUUUUUUAGAAAAAUUAAGAAAAUUAUAAAAUAUGAAUCCUUCUUGUGCGCCAAAGAAAAAAGAAAAAAGAAAAAAAAUGUAAAGAUAUCUUAUUUUACUUUUUUCUUGUAAAAGUGAUUUGUCUAGAUGACAAUGAACCAUAUGAAUACAUUAAUUGUGAGAUGGGCAGGUGGGAAGACGAAGCAUCGGACAAAGAUUGUGAGUGGGAAAGUGAAACAUCAGGAAGUGGGAUGGAGGAGAAGGCAAGGUGAAGGAAGAACCGUCACGUGGCAAAUUUUAUGAGAAAUAAUGUAAAGGAAUAAACAAAUUUUAUGAAAAAUAAUGUAUAUAUAUAGGUAUAGAACUAUAGAUUAGUCUUGGUUCAGAAUCCUCCUUUUCUUCUGAUUGAAGGGAAGGGUCUUCUUCGGCGGAUCUCUCUUGUUCCUGUUUUGUCUCCUUCAUUUUGGAGUUAAUAUAUAGCAGAUAGAUAUUUAAUAUCUUAUUGAACCGAUAAAAACUGCACCAUUAAAAUUUAAGGAAUAGCAAAUUGCAAUACGAAUAAUUAAAUACAAAUCAAAAUGCAAUUAAGCUAUAGAUUUAAUCAGCUUCAAUGUGUAAUUGCAAAGAUCUCUAGAAUUUUAUUCAAAGUGGUCCCCAUCAUCGUGCACUUGUAUAUGACAUAGGCAACAUCUCUAUCUAACCGUGUUUGGAAUCUAGUACUCACCCUGAUACUAGAUUUUAAAAAUCUGCAAUCCAUAUUGAUACCGACUGUCCUAAAUUCGGUACCAUUGUUGAAAUUUCGUAACAAAAGUAUUAAAUCGGAUUUUUACCAUAAACUCAGCAAAUAGCUGACACAAUCGAUCAUAAAAAAGAAAAAUUCAAACAGAAAAUAUGAAUAAAAUAAAAUUUACUAAAUAAAAAAUGAAUUAAACCUGAGCCCUAUUCUAUUGAGUAGUUUCACCGGGAUCACCCGUCUCUCGUUGUCUAUAAAAUAGAAGACUACUCUUUUUGAACUCUCUCUCUCUCUCUCCAACUUGGUACGACUUCAACUCUUUAGUGCUAUAUAUAUAUAUAAUACUUAACCAAAGAUAUAUCCAAAUCUAAUACAAUUAGGAAUCCUAGUCUAAUUAAAUUUUAAAUCUAAAUUAAUUUAUCUUCAAACGAUUAAAAUAUUUAUUCUAAUUCAACUAGGAAUAAAUUAUAAAUCUAACCCAACCCUAACAAACAGCUAAAAUUUUUUGGGUUGGGCUUGAGCCUUUGAACAUCCACGACUCCAUGCUCUCUCUAGCUUCUCCCGGGAUGAAGCCUAAGUUGAUGAGAUUGAGGGGUUAAUUUGACCAAGCUAAUAGUGAUGAUGGUUAUAAAACUAAUAUACAAGGCCUAUAACAUUUCCUCUUCAAUUUUAAAUAAAUUGCUUUACUUCGUGAAUUAUGUCAUGUAUAUAAUUUUUUAUUAUAGGUAAACUCCAAAUUAGCAAAUAAGCUUUUUCUAGAAUGCCUUUUCUUUCGCAUUUGACGAGGUACUCAUCUAUUAAAAAGAUGACAAAUACAGUGUCAACAAAAAAAAUAACGCAAAGCGUCCAAUGGUGGCUGUGGUAGCAGGUUACAGAACGAGGUGGCGAUGGAGGUGGGCAGCAGCGGCAUGCAGUUUCACCACCGUAGAUAUCAAAAAAGAGCCUAGGUCUCUGUGGCGGGGAUGCGGUUCUUUCUCAAUGGUAUAGUGCAUUCUUCAUCUUUUUUUUUGUUUUAGUGUUAUUUGAUUUUAUGCCGUGAGUAAUUAUUUAGUAUUAAUAUUUUAUUUUUAAAAUUUUUUUUGAACUAUUUGGGAUUCAAUUCGUACCAUUUUUUUACCUUUGUUUUAUGUCUUUUUCUUUUAUUUUCUGUUAGAUUAAAUUUUGUGGAGUAAACUAUAUGGAUAAGUCGCUACAUUAUUUGGAUAUUACAACAAAUGUGUCAUUACCAAUAAGAUAAACUGCAUUCUGAUUAGGUUUUAGAAACUUCAUCGAAAUCAAAAAAUUCAAUAACGUAUCCAAAAUUUUGAAAAAAUAAUUCUCAAAAUGUAGUUAUAUAUUGAUGUUUUUUCUUUACAUUUUUAUUUGUUUAUUUAAUUCGCAAAUUUUAAUAUGAUAAUUUCGUCUUUGUUUCUUUAUGUAAUUUACAAAUUUUUACUAUAAUAAUUUCUAUCCGCUGCAUCGCGCGGGUCUCUACACUAGUUAUUAAUUAAUUAUUAAUUAACACUGCAAUUUUUGACAAAUCUAAAUAGAAUUAAAAAACAAAAAUUCAGUGAAACUUAUUUUAAAGGGUUAAUUUCAUACAGAUCCCUACAAACAUAGUGAAUGACAAAUAUAUUCCUACAAAAUUCAACUUUCAUAUUUGUUCAUGCAAAAGUCCUAAUAUUUUCAAAUUUGUUUCUCUGAUUUAUUACCGUUAGAAAACUAUUUAUAUUUCUAAUUUUGCCAUCACAAAUAUAUACAUCUAAAAGUCAUAACAGUAUGAGUGCGGCUGGUAUGCUUCUUGAAGCACGGAGCGCUCCGUGCUUCCAAGUCAUUUUCGAUGUUGGGACUUUCGAAUCAACGAUCAGUUCCGUUAGAUUUGAUUUAGAGUAUUUUAAGUAUUUAGAAAAUAAUUUUUGCGAUUUUUUGAUAUCAUUUGCCUAGUGAUCGAAGUGGUUCAAAAUCAACGGCUGAAAAUAAAAAUAUUGAUCUUGUUUUAUAUAGUAUAAAGAAAUUUCUAUCAAAAUUUCACGUGAUUUGAAUAUUUCUACACCGUUAAACUUGCAAAUGGCUCAACGCGGCCAUUAAAAUUAUUAAUUUUGAGCCCCUUGAUUACUAGGCAAAUGAUAUCGAAAAAUCACAAAAUUUAUUUUCUUGGUACUUCAAAUACUCUAGAUCAAGUUUAACGGAGCCGAUCGUCGAUUUGAAAGUCCCAACAUCGAAAACGACUUGGAAGCACGGAAGGCUCCGUGCUUCCAGAAGCAUACCAACUAACUCUAACAGUAUAAUAUAAAAAGAUAAAAAUGUCAAAAACUAUUCAGGAUUAAGUAUUUAACCUAUGAUUUACUAAUUUUUUCUAAUUGAUUCUAACGGCAGCGAUAUAUUUUAAAACAUCGGGACUUUUGUAGAGACAAAAUAUGAAUGUUGAAUUUUGUAGGGAUAUAUAUAUAUUUGCCAUUCACUAUAUUUGUAAGGGUCUGUACGAAAUUAACCCUAUUUUAAAAUAAUAAAAUUUAUUUGCAUUUUCUUUUAUUAAUUGUUCAACAAGUGAUUAAAAAUCACUUUUACUGUGCUUACUUUUUCUAAUUUUUCUAAAACUACAGUUUUAUUUUGUUAGGAGAAAAUAUCAUAAGAGAGGGAUAAAAUGUUUGGUCCAGUAAAAUAAUAUGAAAUAAUUAUUACACAGUGGUCCCCAAUCUUUGCACCAAUUUUUACCUCGGUCCCAACUUUUUUUUUUUUACAAUUGAUUCCUAAUCUUUUGAUUUUAUUACAAUUACGUCCCAAUCGUUAAAAAAAUUGUUAAAAUUAAUUGAAUCGCCACGUUAGCGCUUAUUUGAUAUCCUUAAUUUUCAUGUUAAUUUAAGUCCCUAAACUUUACAUGUUUUUCACUUUAGUUUCUAAAAAUAAAAAUUCAAAAUUUUAAAUUUAAAUUUAAAAAUAAUACUAAAAUUAAAAUUUUAAACUAACAAAAAAUUAGAAUUUUGAAUUUGAAUUUAAAGCUGAAUUUAAAUUUUGAAUUUAAAUUCGCAUUUUAAAUUUAAAUUUUUAAUUGAAUCUAAAUUUUGAAUUCAAACUUAAAAUUUUGAUUUUGAUUUUGAUAUUUCAAUUUACACUUAAAAUGAAAGUUUUGAAACUGAAAUUUAAAUUUAAAAUCUGAAUUUAAAUUUAAAAUCAUAUUCAAAAUUUUGAUUUUAAAUUUUAAAUUUGAAUUUAAGAUUUGAUUUCAAUUCUAAAUGUGAAUUUAAACUUCGAAUUCAAAUUCACAUUUUGAAUUUGAAAUUUCAAAUCGAAGGUUGAAAUUAAAUUAGAAUUUCGAAUUCGAAAUGUGAAUUUGAAUUUAAAAAUAAAAAAUUUAAAAUUAAAUACAAAAUUGGAUUUCGAAUUCCAAUUUAAAUUUGAAUCCAAAAUCAAAUUUUAAAAUUUAAAUUUAAAAUCUUAAAUUAAAAAUCUUGCUUUGAAUUUAUAAAUUUAAUAGGUUAAUUACACCAUUGGUUCCCAACCUUUGUACCGUUUUUUAAUUUGGUCCCCAAUCUUUUUUUUUUUUACAAUCCAUUGACACAACGCCACCAUGGCACUGACGCGGCAACUCUGUGGCGCUGACAUAACGCCUCCGUGGCACUUAUAUAUAUGGUGCUGACGUUGUAUUUUUCGUCAAUUUUAACAUCUAUUUAACGGCUGAGACUUAAUUAUAAUGAAAUCAAGAGAUUUAGGAUUUGAUUGCAAAAAAAAAAAAAAAUUGGGACCAAAUUAAAAAACGGUGUAAAGAUUAGGGGCCAAUGGUGUUAUUAACCCAAUAAAUUAUUUUGUCUCGAAAAAUUUAAAUCAUGUUAAACAAUUUUACUAAUAUUUGAGUUUGUGAGUUUGAGACUUUUUAAUAGAAUCUAAAAUGUAGGUGUGAAUUAAAUAAAAUAAUUAAAUAAAGCUAGGAGAGGCUUUUUAAUAGAAUCUAAAAUGUAGAUUUGAAUUAAAUAAAAUAAUUAAAUAAAGCUAGGAGAGGCUUUUUAAUAGAAUCUAAAAUGUAGAUUUGAAUUAAAUAAAAUAAUUAAAUAAAAUUAAGUGUGUAAUAGGAUUUAAAGUCCGAACUCAGAAUAUAAUAAAUAGCUGACCAUAUUCUCUCCUUAGGUCUAGGAAUGUCAAUGGGUAUGGAUAUCCAAAAUUUUAUCCGAACCCGAACUCGAAUAAAAUGGAUAUAUCCGAUGAAUAUGGAUAUAGAUUCGGAUAUGGAUAUCAAAAAUAGAAAUCCGGCGGAUAUGGAUUCGGAUAUGGAUUCUUACUAUACCCGACCUGAACCUGAACCCGAAAUUAUUUUGUAUUAUAUAUAUAUAUAUAGAGAAUUAGACUGGAAUACUAUUNAAAUAUAACAUCAAAUAUAUAUAUAUAUAUAUAUAUAUAUAUAUAUAUAUAUAUAUAUAUAUAUAUAACACCCGAAUAAAUGGAUUCGGAUAUGAAUAUAAAAAAUAGAAACCCGACGGAUAUAGAUUCGGAUAUGGAUUUUGAUUGUACCCGAUCCGAACCCGAACCCGAUUCGAAUCCGAAUUUAUUAUAUAUAUAUAUAUAUAUAUAUAUAUAUAUAUAUAUAUAUAUAUAUAUUUGAUGUUAUAUUUGAAUUUGUAUUUAAAAAAUUUAGAUUUAAUAUAAUAUAUUUUGAAAUAUUGAAAACAAAAAUAAUUGUUUCGGAUUCAAAUUUUCGGGUUCGGGUUUGAGUUCGGAUUCGGAUUUCGGGUUUUGGUCGGGUUCGGUUUUGAAUAUGGAUUUUUAAAAUCCGUCGGAUUCGGAUUCGAGUUCGGGUUUCGGGUUUGGAGUCCGGUUUGGAUAACCCGAAAUUAUUUUGUAUUAUAUAUAUAUAUAUAGAGAAUUAGACUGGAAUACUAUUAAUAGUAAAACGCUCUCUUUACUAUCAAGUUUUUAACCCUUGGAUGAAAAAUUGUAGGGUCAGGAUAAUAUUAGUCGGUUAGAGUUGAGUGGUCCCCCUAGGGUUGAGUGGUCCCCAUUGGGUUAUAAUAUUUAACCCAAUGAUUAAAAAUAAUGAAAAGAGUUGAUCCAAAGGUUAAAAACUGGUAGCAACAAUGAAAUUUUGCUACUAAUAGUAGCCCAGUCCAACUAUAUAUAUAUAUAUAUAUAUAUAUUUGAUGUUAUAUUUGAAUUUGUAUUUUAAAAAUUUAGAUUUAAUAUAAUAUAUUUUGAAAUAUUGAAAACAAAAAUAAUUGUUUCGGAUUCAAAUUUUCAGGUUCGGGUUCGGGUUCGGAUUCGGAUUUCGGGUUUUGAUCGGGUUCAGUUUUGAAUAUGAAUUUUUAAAAUCCGUCGGAUUCAAAUUUGAGUUCGGGUCUCGGGUUUGGAGUCAGGUUCGGAUUCGAAUUUUUAAAAAUUCGUCCGGAAUCCGACCCGUUGACGUAUCUACAUAGGUCCAACCCACCACCGACGCCGGAAUUAGCACGUGGUACGUAACGUACGUUAACUAUAUAAACUAAUAUAUUAAAAUAGUUAAAUUAAUUAUUUAAUAAAUAGAGAUAUUUGAAUAGUCUUUUGGUAAAUAGAGAUAGUACUAGCUAAGGGCCGCGUAUCACGGCGAGGAGAAAAUACUUCAGUUAUUUUUUUAAAAUAUAUUAUUUUAUGAGUAUAUAAAAAAAUAUAAUAGUAUACUAAAUAGAAAAUAUACUUCCACAAGUCAGAUAUAAUAUUUCGCAUUAACUUUAUAUAAAACACAUUCAUUUCAAAAAUUUUACAAUAUUAAAUAAAAUGAAAAUUAUAUUAAUUUUUUUUAGUAAUUUUUAUUAAUUAUAGAUUGUAUUUAUUAGAUGAAAUUUUAAUUUUGUUAUAUUGUCUAUUAAAAAAUAGAAUUCAUCCAUACGAUAAUUAUUUAAAAAAAAGAUUUGGUUCAUAUUUUAUUUAUUAAAAAAUAAGGUUGAUCUGUACGAUAAUUGUUUAAGCAAAAGGUUUGGUUCAUAUCUUAUAAAUUUUUUAUUAAGUAUACUAUUAAAAAAUACGAUUGGUUCAUACGAUAAAAUUUUACACUUGGACUAGACAAAAACAUUUAUUAAUAAUAGAUUGUAUUUAUUAAAUGAAAUUUUAAUUUUGUUAUAUUGGUUAUUAAAAAAUAGGAUUGGUAUGUGCAAUAAUUAUUUAAAAAGAAGAUUUGGUUCAUGUCUUAUACUAUUAAAAAUAGGGUUGAUUCAUGCGAUAAUUAUUUAAAAAAAGGGUUUGUUUCAUGUCUUAUACACUUGGUGUACAAUUUUUUUUACACCAUAUAUAAAAAUCUAUUAAUUUUUGUAUAUAAAUUUUUUAUUGAACUAGCUAGGUUGAAAUACUAUUAAUAACACCAAACUAUUUGUGCUAUUAGUUUUUUAGCUCAUAGAUUGAGAAACAUGCGGUUAGGAUAAUAUGGGCCCUUUAGGUUUGAGUGGGUGGUUGUUGAACAGUAUAAUCUAACGGGUAAAAAUAAUCAAAGGAUUAAAUCUAACGGUGGAAAACUCGAUAGCACCAAAUCCUCGGUGCUAUCAAAAAUAUCCCAACCGGACUCUUUUUUAUUAAUUAUAUUAUUAAAAAUUAAAGUUGGUUCAUGCGAUAAAAUUUUACACUUAGUAUAGACAAAAAUAAAAAAGAAAAAGUGUUGCGAGAAAAAAAAAAAUUUAAAAAAAAGUGUAGGUGUGUGAGAGAAUUCAAACUUUUUAUGGAAAUUACAACAAAUAUGUGAGCUUGUAAUUUCCAAACUUGAUGUAUAAAUACAUCAAAUUCGCUUGUUUUGUCAUUCGAUAGAAUACUGUUUCGUUUCGUCAAAUAAUAAAUUUCGUGUUUUUGGUGCGCACAUAUGUUCUAAAAAUAUUUACCCAGCACUUUGGUUAUUUUUAUAUUAACAAUCAUAGCGGCAAAUAGCAUAACAGAUCAAUUUGAUAUUAUUGAAUAUAUGUUAAUAAAACACGGUUUUCUAAUAGCUAAAAUUUGUAGAAAUAAAAUUUUCUUUUCCACACGGGUGUUCUCGAUCUAAUAGCUAACAUUUUUAAAGAUAUAUGUUAAUAAAACAUGGUUCUCUAAUAGUUAAAUUUUUAGAGAUAGAAUUUUUCUUUCACAAUGUUUAAAAUAGUGUCAAAUAUGUAAGGCCAAUUAAAAAAUCUCGACUACAGACAUUAUAUAAUUAGCUGUGUACUUUUAGUUAACCACUAACUUUCAUUAAUUAUUCUCAUACACACUUGUUAAGAGUUCAUAUGUGAAUAGUCCGACAUCGAAUAGUUAUUAGAGAGCAAAAUAUUUUAUAUCUAUAUAUUAGUAAAUCUAAAUUUAAUAGACUUAAGCUUUUAGUCACAUCCCUCGUGUUUGGGAUGGGCAGAAGUUUAUAAUAACAUGUGUGAACCACAUAGCAGUAAAUUUAUUAUUUUUGGUGAAAUUUAUUUUAACGUUUACUGUAUUUAGUUAUAAUAAAUUAUCUCUUAUAGAGUUCAUAGAAAAUUCAGAUUCAAAAAAUUAUUGAGAGGGUUAAAUGACCAUCAUACCUAUAUAUAUUAGCGUUUGCUUAAUCAUGCAUUUAAGGACAAUAUGAAGAUAAAAUAAAUGUAAUUGCUUCUAAAAGUGGAAAGAAAAAAUAGCAAUAAUAGAUUGGGAGUCGUACAAUAUAGAAAUAGUAUAAGAGACCAUUUAAUAGGUUGGGGUUCGAUCUCCCACCAAUGCAUUUAUAAAAGAGGAUGUUUGGAAAAAAUAUAUGUGAAUACUUUAGGAGGUUUUGGAGUGGGGCCUACUGGCUCUAAUAAAACCAUCAAAAUUACACAUAGUUUACUGAUUUCUUCAAAAGAUUAAGGGAUGCGAAUCUGAGUUCCAAUUUAACAAGAACUCUCGAAUACAAGUUUUUACGAUAGAAAUUGACAGAUUAAAUUAUAAAAAGCCCUCAUCCAAAACCAGGCAAAUAUACACGUAAUUAACUACACCUGGGCAUCAUGAUCAUAUAUAAAAGAACUUAGAAAAUUAAGUAAAAAUAACAUUGCUCACAUCCAAUUAUACACCAAGAGAUUAAUUAACUGAAGACAUACAGAAAAUACAAUUCAGCAUCUACUGAUCAAAUCAUUUCAUUGCAUUAUUAUAUUAUUAGUUGCACCGGGGUAUACAUUACAUCAGUCUCCAUCAAGAAAUUAAUGAAUCUUAAUUGAAUAACAAAGCAGAGAAACUAUUAUCAUACCUAGCUCCGUUAAUAAUCCCCCCAAUUACAUUAAUUGAACCCAGGAUUAGACUUCAUAAAAAAUUAAGGGGCGAACUAAUUAUUAUUAUUACUAUAAACAGAAAUGAGAUCGAGUACGUAGAGCAGGAACGAUCAGUCUCACGAAUCUCGCAGCAACAGCAAUGCUUCCGCGGCCAGCAGUUCAUCGGCAUCAAACUUAUCGUCAUCGUGGUCUUCGCGUACUUCGUCACCCUUCUUGCGGCUCAACAGGGCCAUGCCGAGGCCGCCGCAGCACCGGAACGCCCAGAUGUCGACGCGGUCGCCCGCGCGCAACCCGUUGCGUUUCACGAAGCGGCCCCAGCUGCCGAUGAGGCGGAAGUCGCCAUUGGAGUCGAGGAAUUUGAACGUCAUGGCGUGCUCCCGCCCCAGUCGGUCGAACACCCUCACGGGGAGGCCGCGCUCGCGGUCGACGACGAGCGCGGCCUCGUCAGACGUGACCAGGUCCCGCAGCGACGUCGUGGCCGUCACCUGUUUGUGGGUCAGCAGCAGGCGGCUCUGCUGGCUGCUGACGUCCGACCCCGACAGCUCCUUCUGCAGUAUCCACGUCGGCUGGCUCACCCCCUCCCGCAGCAGCGCCGACAGAAUUCCGACGCACCGCGACGGCUUUGGCGCACCGCCGCUGCCUGCAGGACGAUUGUUGGGCCGCGGGCUGCGUUUCUUGGCGGGGAUGAUCGGAGAAGCCGCAGCGGUGCUGACGGCAUCAGCUGGGGGGUCUCUCCUCGGCUUCUUCCUCACCGGUGGUUGCACGGAGUGCCCCAGCUCAUGAUCUUGCGCGUUCUCGAGAUCCGGCGGCUCGGAUCGAUCGGGAGCGUCGGCGCGGUUUCGCUUCGUCUCCUUGAAGAUGGCCAUUGAUGGUUUCUUGAAGCUUCGAUCGGCCGGGAGCUCUUCCGGAUGAUCAAGAAGCUGCUGCGUACGUGAUCGGGGGGAGAGAGAGAGAGAGAGUUGUAAGUGGUUACGCACGUCGCGUAGCAUAAAGUAUAUAAGACAUGCAUAUAGAUACGUACAUACGUAGCGCAAUUCCUAAUUCUACUCGAAUCAUGAUUAAUCUUACCGUUGAUGAAUAUUCUUACCGUUAAUGAUUGUGAUAACUCGUGUUGGUAACUUCGAGUCGAAGGCGAUCGUGCGUUCACCAAAUACGCCCCGGGAUCGAUGCUGAGAUUUGAGACUUCAGAGCCGUUGGAUCAGGUUCAUAAUGCAUUGUUUUUUUCAAAAAAACGAAAAAGGAAAAAAAUCGCUGAGACACGGGAAGUCAAUUGAGUUUAUUUUUUUUAGUUUUUUUAUAUAUACGCAUAUUAAUUUAUGACCACACCUAGAAUUUGAUUAUUAAUGCUAAUUCAAUAGAAAUAAGUUUAAAAUCAAGAUAUUAAUUAAUUUUUAAAAUCAAUAGUAGAGAAAAUUUUAUUUAUUGAUUCAUAAAAAUAAGAGGAAGUGACAAAGACUUUGAUAAUUAAUACCCGAGACUAAGUUCGAAUUCUAAUUGAUUCACAUUUCUAGUUAAGUUUAUUUCUAAAUGAAAUAAACGAAGCGGGUAGCGUGCUAUCUAUCUCUCAAAACAAAACAAAAUUGUGCGCGCUACAAUAUUGCUAAGGCAGAACGUUUCAUCGAUCCUACUUAAUAAAAGUUACUAUUAAAAGGACCGACCAAUUUAAACAUUAAAAAAACUUAAGGAUAUAAUUGUAACAAAUUUAAACUUAUUUAAAAUUUAUCGCAUAAAAAUCAAAAUCACACCCAUUUAUUUAUUUAUUUAUUUAUUUGUUUGUUUUUUGUAAAACAAGAUAACUGCUAAGAUCGCACUGUUAACUAACUUCACACGCGCGCAAUCAGAGUCACCAAUCUCCUUCAAUUCCAGCCUCUUAUCUAACUUGUCGCAAGUAUAAAUAUCACAAUUGUUAUAAUCGGCACAACAAAUAAUAGAUUUAGAAAAAUAAUUAAUACAGAAAAAAAAAAAAACACAUCGAAAUUUAUAUGAUUCAGCUAUGGAUAAAGACAGGAGCAAAAUUUUUUAUUAAUAUCAAAGGUGGAGUGCAAAAAUUAAAUCUAUGACAAAAUUUAAAUUUUCAAACACCUAAUUUUGCAUGCCGAUCUAGACUCCGAAGUAGCUCGGCUCGCGAACGGACACAACUUGGGCUCGGCUCUCUCCAACAGUGCACUGCUUGGUGAUCGGUAUUGCUGCGUCUGUACGACGACCAACAAAAAAAAAAAAAAGAAAAAAAGAAAAAAGUUAAUUAGCUUUAUGUAAUUGGAGCCGCUCUAAAAGCAACAUACGCCAUCUCCCCCCUAUCCGUUUACUUAAUUAAUUAGCAUGGGGCCUAAUUAGCGAUGCGGCUUCCCUAACAUGACGGUGGUAUAUAUAUGCAUAUAUAAUGUAUAGCUCCAAAUUAGAGUAUAAUUCUAAUUACAAUUUAGUUAGAUUCCUAUUUAUACUCUCUAUAGGUCAAGUAAAAUUUAAAUUAUAUCUUAUUCUAAUUAGAUUAGAAUUUUAUUUUAAUUUAUAUAACUAUAAAUUUAAACCAAAAUUAUAACAACAAUUGUCUGUAAAAAAGUUUGAAAAUAUUUUAUUAAAAGCCUUUAAUGGUGUUAAGGCAAUCUCACCGUUGACGAGGCCCAGCGAUCUAAGUUUGUGGCAGCCCUGCCGGUGACCGCGUGCAACAAAGACCCCGUCUGCACCCUGCAAAAGUGGGUUUCGAUCAGCGACACGAGCGGCCACCACCACCACUGCUUCUUGCGCCCGUGCGACGCGUUGACGGGUGCGAAGCAGCUGGAAAGGAAGCACCUGCACCUGAUCAUGUUGGAAAUCAUGCGGUUCGUCGGCGAGAACCGGAUGCGCGAGGCCCAGGUAUUCGAGCCGUGGGCGUACCGCGAAGUCGAGAAGCUCAAGCUGGGCGUGUUGAACUGCAACGCGCCUCGGCCUAAUCCUGCAUUCUGCAACCACUGCUGCUGAUCGACAGGAGUCGUCCGCGGGGGCGCAAGACGUGAAUGUUUUUGAUGCUCCAGCUUUGGUUGUGCGCAACAUCCUGAAGCAGCGCGACCGCAUCUUCGCCCUUACGAGCCGAAACUGGUUCCGUUCGAUUAUGUUACAGAGGCUACAAUGUUGUUGUUGUUGUUGUUGUCCGUGAUUUUGAUUCACAAAUUCAAUUGAACAAGAAAGAAUUGAGAGUGCGUAGGCUGUAUACGUACGUCCCCAUCUGUGCUUUAAAAUAGAUUUUGUAAAUUACAAUAGAGACUCUUAAAUUGGGAGAGUAGUUGGAUUACAAUAUGCAAUGGGUUGUAGAGUCAACAGUUUUUUUUUUUUUUUUUUGUUUACUUUAUUUUUAUUUUUUUUAUUCGAGACUGAAUUGUCUUAAUUUUUGUAGUUGAAUUUAAUUCAACUACAAAAAUUAAGACAAUUCAGUCUCGAAUAAAAAAAAUAAAAAUAAAGUAAACAAAAAAUAAAAGACAAAACUUAGAAAACUAAAGUAAAAUAAGUAAAUAAAAUUUAAAAAAAGUGAAACUAAAAAAAGUUCACUUAAUUAGAUAUAGUUGCGGAACUUAGUUCACUUCUUUCUAAGUCUCAAACUCGUCCAACCAUGAUUAAAGAAUCUGAAGAUUGAUUCUUAAAAAUCACGUUAUCUCUUUCACGCCAAAUCAGCUGCUAACAGAUUGUAUUCUUUGAUAUGAUCUUUCGCUAAUACCCUUUGUUAGCGAUUGUCAAACAGAAACUCUUAGACACCCCUGGCCUCCACCAUUGAUUUCGAGAUAUGUCUAUCGUUAAGUAUGCUGAACAUCAGAAAUUUACUGAAUACGUAUCCCACGAAUAGAUAAUCACAGUCUCAGAUUCAGCGUCACACAAAAUAUUAUGUAGAUUUCCGAACGAGCCUUUUUUAAGUAGAUUAUCAACCGUUGAUAAAUACUUCCUAAUAACUAGCCAAAUAAAAACUCUAUAUAUAUAUAAAAUUGAGCGUAAUAUAAAAAAUAGAGCUUAAUAUACAAGCUCCAAUUAAUAAUCUUUAAAUACAAAAAAUUUAAACAAAUAAACGAAUUUGAUCUUCGAUCGUCUUUCUAUUUACAUCUUCUUUUAUAUUCUUUUAUGAACAAUUCCCUCACAAGCCAUAGAUGCAAGCAUGCAUCAAGUGCGAAAGCACGCGACGAAGCGCUGAAGGUGGCUGCGCUGGCAUCGCCGAUUCGUACGCCGAUGCUCUUCCCUGGCGGCAGCGUCGCGGUCGAUGACACUUUCGAUACACCGAAAGUAGUCGACGCGACACGGAAUAACGAUUGCGCCCGUCUGGUGGAACCCGAACUCCGCCUCGGCCGCGUCGAGCAUGGCCGCGAAGAGCGGGUGCUCAAGGUGCCCCACCGGCACCACGAACCUCUGCCGCCUCUCCCCCUCGGCCCCGACCCUCACCGCGACGUGUCCCUUCGGCGGCAGCGGCGAUUUCUUUGAGGACCAGGGCCAGUGAAGGUGCAAGUUCUUCCAUGAAUGGCGUUGCUGCAGCCUCUCUUUGCUGAUGCUGUCCAUGCCAAAAAACAUGAAAACCAAGAGCGCAAAUUAAAGAAGCUACAAAUCAAGAGGGAGCUUUUGAGUGAAAGAGAGUUGCAAAAAGGAUCUGGUAUUAGCUGGGAGAGGGGGUGUAUAUAUAUAUAAGAAAUGAUAAUAAUAAUAAUAAUAAAGCUAGUUAGAGUCUAGUUUGAAUUGGAGUCGGCGUUGAAGAUGAUUUUGCUUGGUCAAAUUAAUAAUUAAGUACGACACGUUUUCUUUUUUUUCUUUUUUUUCUUUUUUUGGCCCUUUGUGAAUUAAUUAUUAUUAAUUAAUUUGAUCCAUAUAUAUAAUUGGUCUACGUACGGAGCUAGUUUUAUUAACCGUUAAUUAACUUUGCUAUUUUUGUUGCGCUCUCCGCUUUGAAACAAAUCUAAAUAGAAUUAAAUAACAAAAAUUCGGUGAAACUUAUUUUAAAAUAAUAAAAUUUAUUUACAUUUCCUUUUAUUAAUUGUUCAACAACUGAUUAAAAAUAACUUUUACUGUGCUUACUUUUUUUAAUUUUUCUAAAACUAUAGUUUUAUUUUGUCAGGAGGAGAGAUCAUGCAUGAGAGAGGGAUAAGGAGAGGGAUAAGAAGUUCGGUCAUGCAAAAAAAUGUGAAAUAAUUAAUUUAUUUCAAAAAAUUUAAGUCAUGUUCAGAAUUUUGCUAAUAUCUAGACUCGAGAUUUUUUAAUAAGACCUAAGUUAUAGAUUUAAAUUAAAUAAAAAAAUUAAAUAAAACUAGGAGUGUGAUAUAUAAAAUCUACACUUAGAAUUCCGAACGCAAAAAUUAAUUAAUAAUAAGCUCUAAAUUAAAGUAGACAAUUUUUUAUAAACAAUCAUGCUCAUAAUAAUGGGCUGACCAUAUCUCUCGAGAGUCCAACCCACAGACUGCCCGAAGUAGCACGUGGUAUUUAACUAUAUAAACUAAUAUAUUAAAAUAGUUAAAAUAAUUUUUUAAUAAAUAGAAAUAUUUGAAUAAUCUUUUGGUAAAUAGAGAUAAUGCUAGUGUAGAAACUCGCGCGAUGCAGCGGGUAAAUAAUAGAAGCAAAAUUUUAAAAUUUUAAUAAAAUUUAUAUUUACAGUUUAUUGAUGUAUAGAAAGCUAUACCAUGUUAAGUACAGUCAAUUUGCUUGACCAAAUUCAACUGUUAAAAAAAAAUUAUAGUUAGAAGUUUAUAUAAAUUUUUUAAAAUCAUCAAAAUACAGUAAGAGACAUACAAUUUUAUCAUAUUAUAUGCCUCUUGAACAUUCCGUUGUGAAAAAUUAAAAAGAGAUAGCUCCAAUGCAGCUGAAUCAACCCAACAGGCACUUAUAUGGGCUGCGACUGGAUUUUGCGGGACGAUACUUUUCAAAGAAGACAACGUUCUUUGCAUAUUCUUUUUCUUCAUCAUCAUCAUCCUCAUCAUUCUUAUUAAGACAAUGAGAGAGAGAGCUAGAUGAGUGUAGGGAGGGAGAUUAGAUAAUAUUUUUUUUUGCAUGAAAAAUAACAUACCAUGCAAAAAGAGAGGGGGCCGGGGGGAUUAAUAGAGGUGGGGAGUGGAUUGGAGUUACAAAACCCACUCAUUGAUGAAAUAUGAUGUAUAUAAUUAAAUGGUGCAUUUUGGAUUAAUUAAUUCUUGUGAUUUCAAAGGAAUGAGAGGUUUGAGGAAGAAGAAAAAAAAAAAAACAUAUAAAUUACAAGAAAACAUAUUAUUGGUGGCAAAAAUAAUGUGGCGAUAAAUUUUGUCGCCACUAUAUAGUUACUUUUUGUGGCGAUAAAAAAAAUUGCCACCGAUUAGUUAACUAAAAGUGGCAAUGCUACUUUCGCCACUAAAUGAUUAUUUUAUCGCCACUAUUUAGUUAUUUACGGUAGCGACAAAAAGAAUGGCCAUCGAUUAACUAACUUAAAGUGGCGACACUACUUUCGCCACUAAAUAANUAAAUAAUUAUUUUAUCGCCACUAUUUAGUUAUUUACGGUGGCGACAAAAAGAAUGGCCAUCGAUUAACUAACUUAAAGUGGCGAUACUACUUUCGCCACUAAAUAAUUAUUUUAUUGCCACUAAAUCGGUAUUUAUGAUGGCGAUAAAAAAUAUUGCCACUAAUUAAUUAACUUAAAGUGGCAAUAUUACUUUCGCCACUAAAUGAUUAUUUUAUCGCCAUUAUUUGGUUACCUAUAGUGGCAAAAAAAUUUUUUGCCACCAAUUAAUUAACUUUAAGUGGCGAUAAAAAAAUUUGCCAUCAAUUAAUUAACUUUAAGUGGCAAUAUUACUUUCGCCACUAAAUGAUUAUUUUAUCUUCAUUAUUUGGUUACCUAUAGUGGCGAUAAAAAAUUUUUGCCACCAAUUAAUUAUCUUUAAGUGGCAAUACUACUUUCGCCACUAAAUGAUUAUUUUAUCGCCAUUAUUUGGUUACCUAUAGUGGCGAUAAAAAAUUUUGCCACCAAUUAAUUAACUUUAAGUGGCAAUACUACUUUCGCCACUAAAUGAUUAUUUUAUCACCAUUAUUUGGUUAUCUAUAGUGGCGAUAAAAAAAAUUUUGUCACCAAUUAAAUAACUUUAAGUGGCGAUAAAAAAUUUUUGCCACCAAUUAACUAACUUUAAGUGGCAAUACUACUUUCGCCACCAAAUGAUUAUUUUAUCGCCAUUAUUUGGUUACCUAUAGUGGCGAUAAAAAAAAUUUUAAGUAGCGAUAGAAAAAUUUUGCCACCAAUUAAUUAACUUUAAGUGGCAAUACUAUUUUCGCCACUAAAUGAAUAAUUUUUUACCACUAUUUGGUUAGCGAUAGUGAUGAUAAAAAAUUGGUGCAUAUUAAUAAUAAAAUUAAAUAAAAAUAAAAUAUUUAAAACGUUUAUAUCAAAAUAAUGUAUAGUGAAUGUGAAAAAACUGUAGUUGUUAAAAAUUGAGGGUGAGAAUGUACAGAGACACAUUCAACUUCAGAUCAUUUUGAAAUUACUUUAUGAAUUUUAAUUUUAUUUUGAUUCACAUCUCUGAACUUUUUUUAAUUAUUUUAUUCUAGUUAAUUUAGUUAAAUUUUUAAAUUCAAGAGCUUUAUUAAUUAGUGUUUACCUAUUAAUUAUUUUCAUUUAUUUUUUAAAAUUUAAUUAAAUUUAACUUUAAUUAAUUAAUUAAUUAAUUAAUUACAAAUUAUUAAUUAAAUUAAAUUUUAAAUUUUAAAUUUUAAAAAUUAAUUUAUUAAAUUUAAAAAUUAAAUUAAAUUAUUUAAAAUUUAAUUAAAAUGACUAAAUUUUAAUCAAAUUUAGUAUCCAAACAAAAAUUAUAUGGUGUAUAAAAUAAUUAUGCGGGCCGGUCCUCGUUUCUCUAUCUCUAACGUGAAUACGAGAUAUGGUUCUCUGGACCCCGUUCGCCACGUCACUCACCAGGUGGUAGUGAGUAGUGGCUAGUGAGAUGAUGCAACUAAUUUUUAUUGGAGGGUGGUCAAAAGUAACACUAAUAUUUUCUACAAUAGAAAAUGUAUAAAUUUUUGUCUCACACACUGCCACGCUUCCUUUUUUAGAGCUUUCAAAAUUUUUAAGUUUAUUUUAGAGAUUUAAUAUAUGAUUAAAAUAAAAUUUUAAAUUCAUUUAAUUAGAGCCUCAAACGCUCACACUCUCCCUUUACCUAAACCUCACACUCUCCCCACGCUUACCCCCUUCUCCUCGGCGAGCUCCUCGCCGGCGAGGCCCCUUCUCCUCGGCGAGCUCCUCACCGGUGAGUCCUCGAUGGCGAGCUCAUAGGCAACGAGCAACUCCCCGCCAAUCCCUUUUACGACGAGCCCUUUAGCACGGAUCUCCUCGCCGUUGAUCUCCUCUUUGUCGUUCUCCUUGCGGGUGAGUCCUUCGCCGCAGAUCUCCUCGCCGCCAAGAUUCUCAUUGCCGAUCUCCUCUCUGACGAGCUCUCCACGGUCCCGAUUUCUAAUCGAAGAAAAAUCUGUAAAAAAAAAGGUCAGAAAAGCUAAAUUUGGUUGUGAAUUUUGAUUUCUUUUUAAAUUUGGUUGUGUAUAUAGUGCGAGAUGGUGAAUUUUGAUGUUUGUUCUUGUAGGUUCUUUUUGUUUGUUUAAUUGUUCUGUUUCUAUUAACUGUUUCUAUUAAAAAGCUCAAUGAUGCUAAGAAUCUGCUUUUCAUGAGCUCACUGGUCCAUGAUAUAGUCUUAUUUGCAUGCUUAUCUGAAUAGUUUGUUGCAUUCACUAUGAGCUCUGGUCUCUCAAAUUGUUCUUGUGAUUUCUCGGAAAUUGUAGUUUGAACUAUGUUUAAUUAAUAAUCAGCAGGAAAGGCAAAAUAUCAGAAACUAAAACCAACUCACCCUUGAGUAUCACUAGCUGCAGUAAUUAGAUUAACAUACACUGAUUGUGCAUUUGUAUAGCUUUCAUCAGCUGGACCUAACAGGUAGGUUGUUCAUAGGCCAUUUGAAAAGCUCAAUAGUUGCAAAUGAUUUCCGCUAGUCGAUAACCUCUAUCCAAAGACCUUACUUGCGAAAACCAAGUAAUUUAGUUUGAGUUUCAUACUCCCGAUUGAGGACAAUUUUACAUUGAGGCAGAAUAUCAAACUAGAGUUUUCGGCUAUCAAAUAAGGUUUAUUUUAUUUUGCUUGUCACCUAAAUUAGCUCCCAUCACUUUCAAAGAAAUCAAGGUACAAAGUACGUCUAUUGUGGACAUAUUUUCUUCGCUUUGUCAGUAUAAACCUCAAAAAUGAUGUUUUGGUAACUGAUGUUUUGGUCUGAUGUUUUGUAACUGAUGUUUUGGUCUGUUUAGUGUUAUACCUUAGUAUGGUUGAAACAGAAUAAGACCAUAUCUCUUUUCUUUUUUUCUCCUUCUUUGUUUCAUCUGAGUGAAUAUAAUUGCUAAUUAUGGUUGUAUCCUGUUUCAUUUCAGCAAAAAUAUCAUCUACUGCUGCUAAAUUUUGCUUUGUAUGAAGAGAAGCACAAGGUACGUUACUUUACGUAUGAAUAGGAGAAUUUCUGUAUACUUUAAUUUUUUUUUUUUAUUUUAUCUGAGAACAGGCCAUGUCUUAUAAUGUGAGCAUCUUGAAUUUGUAUACCAUGGGUUGAAUGGUGGUGAUUAUUAUAUCAUGCAGCAAAAGGCUAAUAAUGCUAAUAAUGCUAGUUUAUCUGGAUAACAAUGCGAAAUGGAGAGAGCUUAAAAUCUUCUGUUGUUGUAGAUUGUUUAAUUUAUAUAAUUUAUUAUUUUUUUUCUUUUGUUUGUUGCAGGAAAUGAAUUGCUGUUGAAAUAGGAGCUGAAACAUUUUUUUUAUCGUUUUUAAGUAUUUUCUAUUUUCAAAGUUGAGAGAGGCAGGAAUGAUGUUGAACUGUAUAUCGAAUAUUAUUACUCUAUUGCUUUUAAAUUGAUUUUGCUAUUAUUUUAUUUUUAAGAUGUUGUGGAUCAGAAGACAAUUAGCCUUUUAAAUUGUUGUUAAAAGAAUAAUUUUGUUUUCUUUAAUAUUUUGUUUGUUAUUUUGUAUAUGUUCUAUUUAUAAAAUAUAAGCUGUAUAUUUUUAUAUUUAGUUUAUUAUUUUUUUAUUAUUGGUGGCCAUUUAUUGCACAGUUGAUGGCGACAAAAAGUUGCCUUUUUAUUUUUAACUAAGGUGGCGACUGUAAUGGUUGCCGCUUAAUGAAAGGUGGCGAUUAAGAAGGGCCACUAAAACGUUAUAUUUGAUGGCGAAAAUGUAUUACCACCUUAUCUCCAUGAAAGGUGGCGACUAAGAAGCGCCACUAAAACGUUAUAUUUGAUGGCAACAAAAUAUCGCCACGCUAUCUUUAAUAAGGUGGCGAUUAAUAGUUGCCACUAAAAGCUAUAUUUGGUGGCGAUAAAAUGUCGCCAUGUUACCUAUAAUAAAGUGGCAACUAACAAAGGUCACUAAAAGUCAUAUUUAGUGGCGAUAAAAGAUCGCCACGCUAUUUUAAAAAAGGUGGCGAUUUUUCACGCUUCGCCACAAUUUCAUUUAGCGGCAACACUUUCAGUGGUAGCUUGUGGCGACUUUAAAAAUCGCCACCUUUUAAAAAUGUGGCAACUUUUUAUAUAUAUGGUGGCGACAUUAGUCGCCACCACUAUAUAAUAUUCUUGUAGUGAGAGUACAUUGAUUAGAUGUUAUCGAAUAGAAAUGAGGGGAGGGGAAAAGUCAAGGUCAUUGAAUUGGAGGUGAGAUUGAAAGAAAACUUGCCGAGGAAGGGAAGAGAAAAGCCAAGGUCAUUGAAUAGAAUGUGAGGUUGAAAGAAAACUUGCUACGUGACAAAAAUAUUGGGAAUUUAUAUAUGUUAUUAGAUGUUAGAUUAUGUUAUUGGACAUAGUACUUUUUUUAGGGUUAAUUGCACUGUUAUUAGAUGUUCUCGAGAUCCGGCGGCUCGGAUUGAUCGGGAGCGUCGGUGCGGUUUCGCUUCGUCUCCUUGAAGAUGGCCAUUGAUGGUUUCUUGAAGCUUCGAUCGGCCGGGAGCUCUUCCUGAUGAUCAAGAAGCUGCUGCGCGCGUACGUGAUCGGCGAGAGAGAGAGAGAGAGAGAGAGAGAGAGAGAGAGAGAGAGUUGUAAGUGGUUACGUCGCGUAGCAUAAAGUGUAUAAGACAUGCAUAUAGAUACGUACAUACGAAGCGCAAUUCCUAAUUCUACUCGAAUCAUGAUUAAUGUUAACGUUGAUGAAUAUUCUUACCGUUAACGAUCGUGAUAUAUAACUCGUGUUGGUAACUUCGAGUUGAAGGCGAUCGUGCGUUCACCAAAUACGCCGGGGAUCGAUGCUGAGAUUUGAGACUUCAGAGCCGUUGGAUCAGGUUCAUAAUGCAUUGUUUUAAAAAAAAAAACAAAAAACGAAAAAAAUCGCUGAGACAAGGAAAUUCAGUCGAGUUUAUCUUUUUAUUUUUUUUAUAUAUACGCAUAUUUUAUGACCACAUCUAGAAUUUGAUUAUUAAUGCUCAAUAGAUAUAAGUUACAGAACUUACAUAAUUAAAAAUUUACAAUCAAGAUAUUAAUUAAUUUCUAAAAUCAAUAGUAGAAAAAAUUCUAUCUAUUUAUUCAUAAAAAAUAAGUGUUUAAAAUUUGUGUGCGCUACAAUAUUUCUAAGGUAGUACGCUUCAUUGAUCCUACUUAAUAAAAGUUACUAUUAAAAGGGCCGACCAAUUUAAACAUUAAAAAAACUUAAGGAUAUAAUUGUAACAAAUUUAAACUUAUUUAAAAUUUAUCCCGUAACAAAUCAAAAUCACACCAAUUUAUUUAUUUAUUUUUUAUAAAACAAGAUAACUGCUAAAAUCGCACAUAAUCAUUCCUUACAAUUCAAAGAACAAAUCGAACUGUUAACUAAUUUCACACACAAUCAGAAUCGUCGAUCUCCUUCAAUUCCAGCCUCUCACCUAACUUGUUGCAAGUAUAAAUGUCACAAUUGUUUUAAUCGGCAUGACAAAUAAUAGAUUCGAAAAAAUAAUUAAUAUAAAAAAAAAAAAAGAUAGAGCACGCCGAAAUUUAGUGAAGACGAAGCAAAAUUUUUUUAUUAAUAUCAAAGGUGGAGUGCAAAGAUUAAAUUAAUCUCUCACAAAAUCCAAAUUUUCAAACACCCAAUUUUGCAUGUGGUACUAGACUCCGAAAUAGCUUGGCUCCCUCACCUGUACGGACACAUUGAACCAACACAACAGAGCACUCAGGGACGAAGCUAGGAUUCAAUCUUGAGAGGGACCAAAAUAUAUUUAAAUAAAAACUUUAGUAAUAAAUAAGAAACAAAAUUUUUCCUAAUUAAAAUUUUUUUAUUAAAAAAUUAUUAAUUAAAUAAAUAAUGUAAAAGUAUGAACUAUAUUUUUUUUAUUUUCAGAUGUUUAACUUCUAAUUAUUUUAUUUAUAUUAUUAUAUUAAAAUAACUUAGAAAUUUUACUAAAUUUAACAUUAAUUUUUUAGUUUUUUAAAUAAAAUUAACAUAGCUAUUAAAUUUAGUACAAUUCUUGAUUUAGUCAAAUAAAAGAGCUUAUCUAAAAUAAAUAAAAGUUUUAAAAAAAUUAUUAAAUAAAAAUUUUAGAGUAGAGAAAUAUAUUACAAAAGACUAUAAGUAAGAAACUUUUAAUAUAUUUUUAUUCAUAAAAAGAGCAUAUCGAUUAGAAAAAAGAGAAAGAGAGUUAUGUUGGCACCAUACUAUUAAGUAAAUAUUAAAAAACUAGAAGAGGCAAAGCUACCUAUGGUCCAUCAAAAAAAAAUUUUUUGAAGAACCAUUAAGCAAAUGUUGAAAAGUUGAAGGGGGCCAUGGUCACCUUUGGCCUCCACAUAGCUUUGUCCCUGAGAGCACUGCUUGGUGAUGUUGCUGCGUCCGUACGACGACCAACCAAAAAAAAAGAAAAAGAAAAAAGUUAGUUAGCUCUAUGUAAUUGGCGCCACUCUCCUCUCUAUCCGUUUACUUAAUUAUUUAGCGUGGGGUCUAAUUAGCGAUGCGGCUUCCUUAACACGACCGUGGUAUAUAUGUAUAUAUAAUGUAAAGCUCCAAAUUAGAGUCUAAUUCUAAUUAUAAUUUAGAUAAACUCCUAUUUAUACUCUCUGUAGGUCAAGAAAAAUUUAAAUUGUAUCUUAUCCUAAUUAGAUUAGAAUUUUAUUUUAAUUUAUAUAACUAUAAAUUUACAUCAAAAUUAUAACAACAAUUGUCCGUAAAAAAGUUCGAAAAAAUUUUAUUAAAAGCCUCUAAUGGCGAAGAAGCUGAAGGAGAAUCAGUUGUUGGAUGUUCCGCGUCCGUCUAGAAGGUAAAGAAGUUUGCAGCAGCCCUGCCGGUGACCGCGUGCAACAAAGACCCCGUCUGCACCCCUGCGAAAGUGGGUUUCGAACAGCGACGCGAGCGGCCACCGCCGCUGCUUCUUGCGCCUGUGUAGUAUCCUGAUGCAGCACCGACCGUCCCAUGAGCAAGUGGCAAAGGAUUUGAUGGUUGGUAUCCGAGACCCAAGUUCGAAUCCUAAUUGAUUCACAUUUCUAACUAAGUUUAUUUCUAAAUGAAAUAAACGAAGCGGGUAGCGUGCUACCUAUCUCUCAAAAAAAUAUCCUGAUGUAGCACGGCCGCAUCUUCGCCCUCACGAGCCGAAACUGGUUCCGAUCGAUUAUGUUACAGAGGCUGCAAUGUUGUUGUUGUCCGUGAUUUUGAUUCACAAAUUCAAUUGAAAAUGAAAGAAUUGAGUGUAGGCUGUUUACGUACGUCCCUAUCUAUAUAAGCUUUAAAAUAGAUUUUGUAAAUUACAAUAGAGACUCUUGAACGGGGGAGACUAGUUUGAUUACAAUAUACAAUGGGUUGUAGAGUCAACAGUUAUAUAUAUAUAUAUAUAUAUAUAUAUAUAUAUAUAUAUAUAUAUAUAUAUAUAUAUAUAGAGAGAGAGAGAGAGAGAGAGAGUUGGACUGGGCUACUAUUUGUAGCAAAAUUUUAUUGUUGCUGCCAAUUUUUUAGCCUUUGGAUCAACUCUUUUCAUUAUUUCUAACCAUUGGAUUAAAUACUAUAAUCCAGUGAGGACCACUCAACCCUAGGGGGACCACUCAACUCUAACCGACUAAUAUCAUCCUGACCCUACAAUUUUUCAUCCAAGGAUUAAAAACUUGAUAGCAAAAAGAGUGUUUUACUAUUAAUAGUAUUCCAGCCUAAUUUUAUAUAUAUAUAUAUAUAUUUGACAAAAAAAAAAGCGCACUACCCGCUUCAUUAUUAUAAAAAAUUAAUUCAGCUUCAAAAAUUAAGACAACU
RNAcentral lists this long non-coding RNA (45856 nucleotides) under Ananas comosus (pineapple). RNAcentral describes it as "long non-coding RNA (ACOM_LNC016223)". The record is from RNAcentral. Lineage: Eukaryota; Viridiplantae; Streptophyta; Magnoliopsida; Poales; Bromeliaceae.